ACACUCGUCUCCGCCUGCUCCGGCAUCUCGGAAGGUCCCGCACGAUCCUGCGUCAACUGAGCACGCUCCCGUAACAACGGUCGACCUCAGCGACGAUACAUAGCUAAAAGGAACAGAUCGGGGUGAAAUAAAAUACAAACACUCUCGACCCAAUCAACGAAAGUCUGGAAGGCGGGCUCCUGUUUUUCUUCAAAAUUAUAUCGUCUGCAGCCAAUACAAUUUCUCAGACCAAAACAGGCACUACUUCAAUCACUCACCCCACUCUAGGAGGAGUUAGAAUAAUUAAUCAUUGACUUUCGCAGUAAAUUACGUCUCUCGCGCCUUACCUUCCUACGGUUUGCCAACCUAGGUUUCCUAGGUCCCAACGACCUACAACCUGGCUCUGAUACCAACUUAAUCUGUCACGCCCCGGAUUACACAUUCUCCGGGCACGCCGACAAAUCCGCCGUAUACAAAAAAUUUCUUCUAUAUACGAAGCGAUAGCUGUACCUGUAAAACAUACAAUACUACAAACAGUAGUAUAGAGCUAUAAAGAAACUAAACAGGUAGAAUAAAACAAGUCUCAUAUACAUACAUAAAACCAUACCAAACGUACUCGCUCCAGCGAGUUACAAUACCUGUAUGUAUAUGAACUCAAAAACCAAAAGUACGACUACAUGUAGUAGGGGAUCCUCUAUCACCGCGACUCGUCGGGUAGGGCUCUAGCUCGCAACGCCCUUGCCUCGAUCCUGAUUAGCAACAGCAGCAGCCGAAGACGAUGGCUCAGCAAAAACGGGGCAACAACAGGGAGUGAGAACUACUGUAAAAACAAGUAGUCCUCAGUGGGUGCCGCCCUCAACAUCAUCGGUCCACCUACUAAGUCUACAGAAGGAAGCGAAGAUAGUAAUAAAUACUGGAAUAAAAUCUACAGCUACGCGUUAUUACACUAUCAUGCUCUAAACAUACCUACUGUAGAAAAGUCAAUCCCGACCCAAUCUCUUUACGGACAGUAAACAUACCCGUCCUAGGGACUGUGAAUACACCCGUCUCGCCCAGUUGGGACUAUCCAGCUACCUCCACACUAUCCAGUCCGUGGAGAGUAAGUCCAACCAACAAUGAACGACACCAACGUGAAAGCACAGCGCCCGUCUACGGAGUGGCACUCGUAGGAGCUACCCAAUCGAGUAUGCAGCGUAUCUCUAUCGAGCUCAAUCCGGCUCUCACAAGCCAAAGUUAAGUAACUGACACUAACUGGUCUAACAACAAACAGGUCAUGUGCCCUCGGCACAAUCCGAUGCCAAAACAACGAUAUAGGUCCACCGUCGACUCCGACGGUACCCUAACAGUCUGGAACAGUCUGAAUGCUACUGUAAAAAUACGCUAGGCAUCUCAGCACGAGCGUAACUGAAUUCUAAACUAUCUGGGGUAUCCAUCACACCAAUACUGUGAUGAUACCAAUUUACAACGACUCCUAGAGCUAAAUCAGGUAGUGUAAACAGGUGACAAGUCCAACUCGCUGAUUUUCUCCUAUGUCAAGUCCAAGUCCAACAAGUAUAAUUACUAACAAUUAAUAACAUGCUCCAAAUUCCAUUCAUAUGUCUAAAACAUGCAACAACAUGAAUUUAAGCUAAAACUAUAGUAACGUAUACAUACUAAUUAUACAUUUCGACAACGGGACUCUAGGAGUAGGAAUCCGAUGAUAACCCAUCUCAAAAGCUAAUCCCUGGCAGCAAAGAAGGUCACCGGAAUCCCUGCCAAGCUCGGCUGCAACCCACCGAACGAGCAACAACAACACUUCAAGGAUCUAGACUUGGAAACCCACAAUAAACACCAAUUCUGCUCAAAAUAAUAGCAGAGAGAAAUAGGGUUUCGACCAAGCUAACCUUCACCAAAUUUAGCAAUCUUGGGCUUCUUGAAUUCCUCUCGAAGUCCUGAAUCUAACGAACCAAGUUUCAUCGCAAUCCGACACUCCUACGUCGCGUACUAGCUGAAACACCGACAGUCGACGCUGGAAUUCUGUGAAACAGCAUCCUUGAGCUUGAAGUAGUAAGGACUUGCAAUGGUUGGGGGAACUUGAUGAACAUCUCACCUCAAAAGUUAUUCGAACUCCAGCGUGACGUCGAGAACGGUGAAAACGCACCCUCGCCCAGCCUCCACGCGAUGCUACGACGGCAACUGUACGCUCAAACGGCUCCGCGGCUUGACGUCGGCGACGAUCCGAGCUCCACGGCAACUCCACUCGAGCUCCUCCUUGCUCAACCAAUGCUAGUGAGAGAGAUGGAGAAGAAACCAGUAAACUCUCUCUCUCUCUCUCUCUCUCUCUCUCUCUCUCAGCUCUACACGUACAUAAAUAGAGAGGGAUGGGAUGGGUGAUACAUCGAGGCUCAAAAUUACCAAAAUGCCAUCUCACCUACCCUGGUGUUCCGGUACACGGUCCCGAGAGCAGUCUGCGCGCAGCCUUUGUAGUGUACCGGUACACUAUACUGGCUGUACCGGUAUAGCAAGCAGAGAAACCUACUGUUUGCAAAUUCUCUUGCCAAAUGCUGCUCUCGCGUCGCAUAGAGUCCGUUUUGCGUCUAUUUCACGCCAACGCUACUCAGACUUGCCCCGACACUCUCCAGAGCUGUCGACAAGCCUUAACUACUGAACAACAGGGAUAUCACAGUGAUGGGGUUUCAUAGAGACAAAUUUAGGACACAUUGUGACUCAGUUGGGCAUCACUGUGGAUCCGAAGAAGAUAGACUCGGUAGCUGAGUGGCCUGCACCAACCACUGUGAUUGAGGUCACGAGUUUGCUUGGUUUGGCGGGUUAUUAUUGGGAAUUUGUCAACGGCUUUGCCAAGAUCGCCGCACCGCUGAACAGGCUGACCAAGAGAGGAGAAAGAUUCUGGUGGACUACACAGUGUCAGCAGAGCUUUGAUGAGCUGAAUGAUAGAUUGACUCGAGCACCCAUUUUGAUUCUGCCGCGGCCUAGUGAGGACUUCGUGGUCUAGUGCGAUGCCUUACGAGUUGGUUUGGGGUGUGUUCUUAUGCAGCAGGAUCGGGUCAUUGCCUAUGCUUUACGCCAGCUGAAGGAUUACGAAAGGAAUUACCCGGCUCACGAUCUGGAGCUCACGGCAGCAAUGUUUGCCCUUAAGCUUUGGAGGCAUUAUCUAUAUGGGGCACAAUGUGAGGUAUUCACUGAUCACCUAAGCCUAAAGUAUCUCUUCACCGAGAAGGAGUUGAACCUUAGGCAGAGACGUUGGCUCGAGUUCUUGACGGACUAUGACUUCUCUAUCCAGUAUCAUCUGGGAAAGGCGAAUGUUGUAGCUGACGCCUUGAGUCAGAAACAGUCAUCAGCCGAGUUGUCUUUCAUGAUUACGAGACAAGAUCGUCUUGUGGAGGAGUUCCACCGCCUCGAGAUUGAGGUUGUUCCCACUGGGGCCACGGCUGAAUUGAUGACCCUGGUGGUACAGCCUAUAUUGACUGAGCAGAUUAUGCUAGGGCAGCAGAGUGACCCGCACUUGCAGAAGGUGUUGGCGGAGAUCAAGAAUGGUAAGGACGGGGACUUCUCUAUUCACACCGAUGGAUCUCUUCGUUUCAAAGGCAGGUGGUGCGUGCCUAGUGACUCGGAGCUGAGGAAAGAUAUCCUAUCCGAGGCGCUUCGAUCCCUUUACACGGUUUAUCCCGGUGGAACCAAGAUGUAUCGCGACCUGAAGCAGAAUAUCUGGUGGCCUGGGAUGAAGUUAGAUGUGGCACAGCAUGUGGCUCAGUGCUAGGUUUGUCAACAGAUGAAGGCCGAGCACCAACGACUAGCAGGAAAGUUGCAACCACUUCUGUGCCUGUAUGGAAGUGGGAGCAGAUUACUAUGGAUUUCGUCAUCGGAUUGCGUCUAUCACAGUGGGGCCAUGAUGCGAUCUGUGUAAUAGUAGAUCGGCUGACGAAAUCGGCUCACUUCUUGCCGAUGCACGCCAUAUGGUCCCGUGAUCGACUGGCAUAAUUAUACAUCGACGAGAUCGUUCGACUUCAUAGUGUGCCGGUGUCGAUUGUGUCAGAUCGGGACGCUCGCUUCGUAUUCUAGUUUUGGAGGAGCUUACAACAUGCCAUGGGUACGAAGACGAACUUCAGUAUGGCUUUCCAUCCCCAGAGUGAUGGUCAGUCAAAGCGAGUCGUUCAGACUCUUGAGGACGUGGUCCGCACAUGCGUCCUGGAUUACGGUGAUGGAUGGUUCCGGUCUCUACUACUAGUGGAGUUCACUUAUAAUAACAGAGACCAAGCGAGUAUCGAGAUGGCACCGUACGAGGCUCUGUAUGGGCAUCGAUGUUGGUCUCCUAUCUGUUGGGACGACGUCAGAGAACGCCAAGUGAUUUGGCCAAACUUGGUAGAGGAUGCAGAGGUGAAAAUCUGCAUUGCUAGAGAGCGGCUUUUGACUGCACGAGUCGACAGAGGAGCUACGCGGAUCAGCGGAGGCGUGACCUGGAGUUUCAGGUCGGUGAGCAUGUGCUGCUCAAGAUAUCGCUAUUCAGGGAGAUCAAGCUAUUCGGUUUGCGGAACAAGCUUAGUCCGCGAUUUGUUGGGCUGUUUGAGAUCCUGGAGCGUGUUGGUCCGGUGGCGUACAGAUUGGCUCUUCCUCCAAGUCUCGCCUGGGUGCACAAUGUUUUUCACAUGUCCAUGCUUCAGAAGUAUAUCCCAGAUCUAUCCUACGUCAUCAGUCCGACAUCUAUACAGCUCAGGGAGGAUCUGAGUUACGAUGAGGCUCCGUUGCAGAUAUUGGCACGUGAGAUAAAACAAUUGCGGAACAUGAGCAUUCCGUAUGUGAAGGUUCAGUAGAAAAAUCAUGAGGAACGAGAGGCCACGUGGGAGCUUGAGUCUUCUAUGCAGGAGCGAUAUCCAUAGUUGGUUGCGGGGGAUACUUGAUUAAGUUUCAGGGAUGAAACUUCUUGUAAGAGGGGGUGAUGUAAUAUCUGAGAUUUGAAUAAAGAAAUUCUAGUUUGAAUUUUGAAUUUUAUAUAUAUAUAUAUAUAUGGUUAUAUAGGUGGACUUCGGAGAGGAUGGGUUUCGUCGCAAAUCGGUGACCAAAUCUGGCGAAACAAAAUAGUAGUUUCGAUGCCCCAGUCGUGCUGAACGUGCUGGCGCAAUUCGUUUACAAAUCCGAUGGACAGAUCUCCUGAUAUCGCGUGAAGAUCGAGAAGGGGACGAAAGUGGCAAAAUGGAAAAUCCACAAAACUCCCUAUAUUUUAUGUACCGUUUUACGUGAUUUCGAACGUCGAGGUGCGUACGUGGUAAAUACACGCGCUGUGAGGGACGUAGUUAAAAUAAUCAUCUUUGGCGGACUAUCAAGCAAAAUUACACUUGGUUUAAAUUGGCAUUUAGGGUUUCAUGGAUGAAACCCUAACCCUAGAUACCUUCCUCCCUUAGCUAACCCCCUGCCACCCUUAGCACAUCCCCCUGUCCUAGCUGCGCGCACCUUAGCUGCCUGCGCACGCCGCUGGCCGUCGGAAUCCGCCCCUUUACCUUCUCCAUCAUCUUCUCCACCACCUUCCUCCACCUUUGUCCGAGCAGCAAUCUCGAGGGCCUCUCACCUACUGGCUCCUCCCCUGGCCGUGCUCCGACCCCCGUCGACCUUCCCCACCGGUUACCGCCAUCCCCGCGCGCCGCCAUUGCUGGCAUGGCAGCCUGUGGCCAAUCAAAGCCAGCUCGAGCCCAGGUAGCUUUAGCUCCUGGCCUUCGCGCCGCGGUAGCUUAGGACCUCCUGGGUUGCCCUUUUCCGACCUCCGGCGACCUCCCCCGCUGAUUGCCGCCAUCCCUGCACGCCGCCGCUGCCGCCCUGGCAACUUGUGGCCACUUGGAGCAAGCUCGGGCCGAGGCUGAGUCAUCUCCACUCCCACGCACCGCCGCCGCCUGGGGCCAACCGCAUUGCCUCCCUCCGGCCUCCAGCGACCUAUCGCCGUCGCCUCUGAGCGCCCCGCCGGCCGCCGUAGCUCCCUUAACCCGAGCCCUAGCAGUGCGGGCUCACCUUGCUCCGCUGCCUCUCCAGCUACCUCCAGCUGUUGGUUGACGCGAGCGCCGUCCUCCCCACACUGGCCGCAACCGCUUGCUACCGGCGCUCCCGCCGUCCGGCCGUUAUCGGCCAACCCAAGCUCCAGUAACCAAGUAAGCUUUGUUUAAGCUGUUCUGUGCAUCGCUUCGGGUUCGGGUCGCUGUUCCGGCGACCCGAGGGCACCCCGAUGCUUCUGGAUGUGAGCACGACAAUCCUUAAUCAGUGCUAAUCAUCGUGCUCAUCUUCUUUGGGGUCAGCAAGCCCCGGUUUGCGAGUUAAGCGCAGUUUAGGUUCAGCGCACAGUUCGCUAAAUUUUGUGUCGCUCCUACGCUCUCCACAGUGGACGGCCAUGCUCCAGAUCGUGAGCAUCGCCUCCGGCAUGUCAAGACCUAUCAGCAUGUGUCUCGGCCAGCCUCGAAAACCCUUGGUUUGUGCUGCCUGGCCAUAAAACCUCAAAAAUCACAUAAAAUAAUAUGAUUUAUGUGAUUGUAGGGACUUUUGUGCAAAUGUACACUUUGUGGCUGCUGUGGGCAGUGUGUGCGGGUGGCGGGUGAUCUCUGGACUGAUUGUCCAAGGUCUGAGGCCUUCGCGAAAAUUGAAUAUCGAUAUUCGGUGCAUUUUUCGACGAAAUUCGCCGACGAAACGCGGUUGCGGUUCUGAUUUCUUCCAACGAUGCAUUAGUGUAUCCUACUUUGUCACUGAGCCUUAUUGGUCGAUUACUUACAUUGUUUUGACGGUUCGGAGAUGACGGGUGAGCGACGGUGGGUUCCAGUGUCAAAAUUGAUACUUUCAAGAACCUGGAUCGGAACAGUUAUCCGACGAUAAUCGUUUCGAUGUGAGCUUACGUGUUUGCUGCCAGGACACCUUUAUUAUGGUGUUGUGUGGAAGCAGGUGACUCGUGGCGGGAGUCGGUGAGUCCCAGGACACUUCGUGGGUCCCGGCAGAGUCCCGGUGCGAUUUUCGGGACUUUCGGCGAGUUAUGGUAAUCAGUUUUGGGAAACCGAUUCUUAUGGGAUUAAUUGUGGGGUUGUGAGUUUAGUGUUUCACAUAAUUGGGUUGGAUUCUAACCCGUUGGACCCUCCAUAGGUCCGGUUGACGUUCUCCCACAGUCGGAAGAUAGGCACUAUGUUCGUACAGAUGGGUACUUCGAUUCGAAGUCAAUACAGUGAUGCACGCUCGGUGACAUUCUCUCCACGUACUCUUUCUUUACUAUUAUCUUGCAUAUCAUAUGAUGAGCCUAGCACCCCUUUUUGACUUCUUAUUAUUGCUCUACUUGGUUAUUCUUCAUAUUGAUAUCAUGAUUUACAAGUAGAGCGGAUUAUCAGUUGUACUUGAGAUCUAUGAUCUAUACGGUCGGCAUACUCUAAGGGGUAGGAUUGUCAGCUAGUUGCUGACUGUUGGUUAUUGAGUAUAUCAACAUUGAUCGCCACUACUCGUAUGCAUUUCAUGAACACCAGCGGCCUGAUCCACUGUAAGGGGGUGUUCUUUUCCUAGAAAGUGGUUGGAAGUGCGAGCUUGUGAGCCCAGAGGCCUAGUUUGGGUUAUAUGCAGGUAGAGUGGCAGUGGCACAGGCUUGAGGUCUGCGGACCGACAUGGCAGGGUAUCUUUGGGACUAAUCGUCCGGUUGAUGCAUGCAUACAGUAGCGGUAGUGGUAUAUGUAUGUCCUGUUUCCUUUAUUUGUCAUUGCUACUCUAUUAUCGUUGUAUACACUUUUAGUUAUCCUCCUUUACUGGUGAGUACCCCUCGCCCUCAUCGGCUUGCGGUACCCACUAGGAGGGGAGACAUGUGUACAUCUUCUCACCCCCCACCAUUUUUCAGGUGACGUUGCUGGUCCGAGUCGGGAUGGGGCGUGAGGCGCAUGGUUAGUGGUCAUUAGAAUGUUCCGGCCCGGUGACUUACGGUUUAAUUUCUAACCUGCUUCCUCAUAAUAAGUAACUUAGAUAUUUUCUGUUCAGUUGGUUUUAUUUGGAUAUAUGUGGUUUUGUGAAGCUAAUAAAGUACUUGUGGUUUUUAUGCAAAAGUAUGAAAAUUGUUUUCUACCUCUCGUGGUAGCUCGGUUUUAAAGGAAAGGAUUUUCAUGUGGGAAACGGUUUUAAAAAGGAUUUUUUGGUUUUCAUAAAUUUUAGUAUUUUAAAAUCAGUUUUCGGGUGAGAAACGUUUUAAACUGAUAGAUGUGGAUUUAUGAACAAAAUAUUGUAAUCUUGUGAUUGACCGAAUGUGAAUCGAUUUAUGUGAUGUGGUCAAUGUAUAUGGUUGUUUAUAUACUGUGGUUGUAUCUUAUACUUGUGCGACGCCGUGCAAAUAUAGGGCAGACUUUGUCCGUGUGAAUAGUGGUUUCCUGUAUUUGUGGCAGAUCUGACAUCCCCUAGGGUCAAGGUUUAAAAAAAAAAAAAAUUUGAGUACUUUCGCAUCGAUUUUAACGUUUCAAAAGGACCCUGGGGCAUGACAAGAAUUAUUUUUCUUGGGCAUGUGAUUUUAGCUGAUAGGAUUGCAGUUGAUCCCAAAAAAUUGAAGUAAUUCGAGAUUGCCCUAGACUUGCAAGUGUUUCUGAGGUGUGGAGCUUUCUGGGAUUGGCUGGUUUUAUCGUCGGUUUAUGAAAGGCUUUGCGAAGCUUUCCACACCUCUCACUCAACUUACUCGAAAAGGAAUAAAAUAUAUUUGGAGUAAGAAUUGUCAUAGAACCUUUAAAAAAUUGAAGAAUAAAUUAAUGUCAGCUCCUAUCCUCGCCCUUCCUAUUAUGGGUGAGGAAUUUGUUAUUUAUAGUGAUGCAUCAGAGUGGAUUGGGUUAUGUAAUGAUGCAGAAUGAUAAGAUAAUUGCCUAUGCUUUUAGACAGUUAAAAAAUAUGAGAAAAAUUAUUCUACUUGUGAUUUGGAGUUAGCUGUCGUAAUUUUUUCAUUAAAACUUUGGCGCUAUUAUCUUUAUGUAGAAUAUUGUAAAAUCUACACUAAUUAUAAAAGCUUCAAGUAUUUAUUUACUCAAAAAAAUUGAAUUUAAGAUAACAUUGAUGGUUAGAAUUACUGAAGAAUUAUAAUGUAACAAUAUUUUAUUAUCCUACUAAGGCUAGUGUAGUGGCUGAUGUACUAAUUAUGAUGAUUCUUAAUUGGGCCAUUGUUAGAGGAAAUGAGACGGUUAUAAAUGAAGAUUGCACUCCUUGCAACCUAAUCUGCCAGAAAGGAUUAAAAGGAAAUAAGGUGUUGACCCACAUUUAGCAAAAAUUCGGACAAAAUUAGGAAAUGGACAAGUGAAGAACUUUUUUUUUUUUGUGAGAGAUACGUAGCACGCUACCCACUUCGUUUAUUUCAUUUAGAAAUAAACUUAGCUGGAAAUGUGAAUCAAUUAGGAUUCGAACUUGGGUCCCGGGUACCAACCACCAAGCCCUUUGCCACUUGCUCUAGGGACGAUCGGUCAAGUGAAGAACUUUAGUAUUGAUUCCUUGGGGAUAUUGAGAUUUUAGGAUCAUUUAUGUAUACCUUUGGAUGCUGAGAUCCGUGAGAAAAUAUUGAGGGAAGCACAUAGUUCCCUUUAUACUGUACAUCCUGAAGGAACGAAAAUGUAUAAGAAUUUAAAAACACAUUAUUGGUGGAAUGGUAUGAAAAGAGAUAUCGGAAGAUUUGUAUCACAAUAUUUGGUCUGUCAACAAGUAAUAGCAGAACAUCAGGUACCUGUUGGCAGACUGCAAAAUCUUUCAAUUCCGGAAUGAAAUUGAGACAUGAUCACUAUGGAUUUUGUAACUAGUUACCAAGAUCACACGGUGGACAUGACAAUACUUCUGGGUGAUAGUGAACCGAUUGACAAAAUCUCUUACUUCAUACCAGUUCAAGUGACAUGGUCUAGAGAGAAACUUGCUUAGAUAUAUCUGAAUGAGAUUGUAAGAAUGCAUAGAGUUCCUACCUCUAUAGUGUCAGGUCGUGACCCGAGAUUUGUAGCAUAUUUUAGAGAUCUUUACAGACAGCUUUGGGACUCAGUUACAUUUCAGUACAGCCUUUCAUCUAUAGGUUGAUGGGCAGUUCGAGAGGACAAUUCAGAUAUUCGAGGAUAUGUUGAGAGCAUGUGUCCUUGAGUAUGGUGAUAACUGGUAUCGACAUUUGGCAAUGGCGGAGUUUGCAUAAAAUAAUAUUUUUCAAGCAAGUAUUAGAAUGGCUCAAUUUGAGGCAUUGUAUGAAAGAAAAUAUCAAUCGCCACUGUAUUGGAGUGAACUGGGUGAGAGAAAAACUCUGGGUCCACAUAUUUUAAUGGAAACAGAAGAAAAUGUUAGAAUUGCCCAACAACAUUUGCAGACCGCCUAGAGUCGACAGAAAAGCUAUGCUGACACAUAGCAUCGAGACUUAGGCAGCGUUUGGUUCAGGAACAAAGGGGGAAUAGGCCUUUGUUCCCCCCUUUUUUUCCCAAACGUUAUGUUUGGUGCCCAGGAAUAGUAGUUUCCGAAUUUUUGGAACAAGCUGGUAUAAGACUGGAACUGUCAUUCCACCUUUUUCCUGGAACAAGCUUGUUCUUUGAUGAGAACAAGAUUAAUUAAAGCCUAAAUUUAAUUUUAAUGACAAUAAAUUAUUAAUUAAUCUAAUUAAUAUAUUUAAAUUAUUAUUUAUUAUUUUAAUAAUUAUAUAAUUAAUUAAUUUAUUAUUUAUAAUUAAUUAUUAAUAAUUAGAUAUAAUUUGUUGUAUCCCUGAUGUUCAGUUUUUUGAGGCUUGUCGACACGCCGUGAGGGUGUCAGGACAAGUCUGAGUCUCGUUGGCGCGAAAUAGACGCAAAACGAACUCAGCGGGGACGCGAAAGCAGGAGUUAGCAUUGAAAAUUGCGAAUUGCAGAUUUUCUGCUUGUUAUACCGGUAGAACAUCAGGGUUGUACCGGUACACUUUCUGUACCGGUACAGCAUCGGAGGUGUACUGGUACACUUCGCCUGAUUGGUGAACAGCUGUUACCAUUUGUACCAGUACAGGUGCCCGUAUACCGGUACACGGGUGUAGGUGAGGGGCAAAUUUGCCUUUUCAUGCCUCGUAUGUGUCACCCACUCCUUCCCUUACUACUUAGCUGCGUAGAGAGAUGCUGAGGGGAGUUCUUUUGGUUGGUUUCUCCUCCUCUCUCUCUAGACUUGAUCCGAGCGUGCGAAGGAGCUCGGGUGGAUUUGUUUCGUCGCCGACGUCGCACCGCGGAGCCGUUCGAGCACACGAGCAUUGUGCUGGCUGCGUUGGGAGGCCGAGCGAGCAUGUGAUUCCGCCGUUUCGACGUCGCGCCGGAUUUGGAUUAGCGUUCGAGGUGGGUUAAUCGUCAGUUUACCUCCUAAGUAGAUAUAUAGUCGGCAUGUGUUUAUCGUGUUGUUUAGUAUAUUUAGAUUGCUCGAUUCAUGGAUUUCAUGUUAUUAUCUUCAAAAUCUGAAUUAGAGCUUUGUCUUUUGCUAGUAUCUACUACACAUGUGGGACUUGGAUAUGACUUAGGAGAAAACUGCGAUUAUGACCUGUCAUAUGCUUAAACUACCUGAUUUAGCUCUAGGAGCCGUUGUUAUUUUGUAUUGCCGCAGUAUCGGCGUGGUGGAUACCCCAGGUAGUUUAGAUCUCUGCAACGCUCGUGCUAGGAUGCCGAGUGUAUUUUUACAGUGGUGUUCAGACUGUUUCGGAUAAUUGGGUGCCAUCGGAAUUGACGGUGGACCUAGUUUGCCGAGUUGGCAUUAGAUUGUGCCGAGGGCACGUGACUUGUUGGUUGUUAGACCAGUUGGACCAUGUUUCUUGACUUUAGCCUGUGAGAGCCUAAUUGAGCUCGACAGAGAUACGCUUGCAUACUCGUUUAGGUCGCGCCCACGAGUGCCACUCCGGAGUCGGGCUUAGUGCUUUUGUGUUGGUGUCGUUGUGUCCUGGUUGGACUUGCUCUCCACUAACUACCCAGCGUGGUGGUUGUUAGUAUACCUUCGACAGGCGGGACGGAUGUAUCACAGUCCCUGGUGGGAUUGGGUCAGGAUUUACUUUUACUACAGUUGGUUAGUGUAGAGCAUGAUAGUGUAGUGACAUGUAGCUGUAGAUUGUCUUCCAACUUUUCCUACUACCUAUGCUUCUUUCUGUAAACUUAGUGGGUGGACCGAUGAUGUUGAGGGCGGCACCCACUGAGGACUACUUGUUUUUACAGUAGUUCUCACGCCCUGUUGUUACCCUUCUUUUGCAGAGCCAUCAGUUCCAGCUGCUGCAUCUUCUGAGGCUGAUCGUGGCAGGGCGUUGCAAGCUAGAACUCUAUCCGACGAGUUGCUGAGAUAGAGGAUCCCUGCUGUAGGUAGAUUUACUUUUGUUUGAGCUCAUGUACAUACAGAUGUUAUAACUCGCUGAGGCGAGUCCUUUUUGUACCUGGAUAUUAUGUAUGUAUAUGGAACUCGCUGUUGUUCUACUGUUCUUUUUCUUUCUAGCAGCUCUUUAUUACUGGUUGUAGUGUUGUUUGAUUACAGUUUCAGUACAGCUUUACUUUGUAUGCAGGGAAAACUUCUUCGCAUACGGCGGAUCUGUUAGUGUGCUCGGAAAAAUGUGUAAUCCGAGGCGUGACAUAAUAAUUAUUAAUUUAUUACUUAUAAUUAAUUAUUAUUAUUAUUAUUAGUUAUUAAUAAUUAUUAUUCUUAAUAAUUAGAUAAUCGAUAUUAUUAUUAAUUUAUUAUUUAUAAUUAAUUAUUAAUAAUUAGAUAAUUAUUNUACACAAUCCAACACCUCCCCUCCCCUCCCCUCCCCUUUCCCCCUUUGCACCAGCGAAUCCCACCUCUCGGGGUGUGUAGGAUGCCGCGAAGCAUCUUACGAAUCUGAUCUUUCUCGCCGAAAGAUAUAAAAACAACAAAAACCCUCUCUCAUUUUGCUUAGAAAUGGAUUUAGUAUCACAAAAAAUUCGAUCUUUAGUAGAAUAUUUUGAUCUUGGUUUCUCAAAGGGAGAACUCGUUCUUCGCAUUUGCUUAAAGAAUGCUCAGUAUACAUAUUUAAGCAUUGAAAUCGGCUAUCCUUUUCUUGGUUGCAGCGAUAUGUGGCACUCAAAGUGCAGAAGAGUGCGCAGCACUACACUGAAGCAGCAAUGGAUGAGAUAAAGAUCCUCAAGCAGAUCGCCGACGGUGAUCCCGACGAUAAUCGGUGUGUCGUCAAGCUCCUGGAUCACUUCAAGCACUCGGGGCCGAACGGGAUUCACGUCUGCAUGGUGUUCGAGUUUCUCGGGGACAAUCUCCUUACAUUGAUCAAGUACACGGAUUAUCGGGGAAUUCCUCUUCCGAUGGUGAAAGAGAUCUGCCGUCACGUUCUAAUUGGCCUCGACUACCUCCACCGCGAACUAUCAAUAAUUCACACCGAUCUUAAGCCUGAGAACAUCCUCCUUGUCUCUUCACUUGACCCUUCCAAGGAUCCACGACGCUCUGGGACACCGCCUGUUAUUCCAAACGUGAAGACUGACGACCAACCUCCUAAAACCACUGUGUCGACUAACGGCGACCUAACAAGAAACCAGAAGAAGAAGAUCAGGCGGAAGGCAAAGCGUGCGGCUGCGGCCACGUCAGUGAGUGGUGCGGCCACUGCUUCUCAGGAUGCUGAUGUGUCAGAAGAUAAGGGGGAUUCUAGUGCGAUGAAUGAAGACGACGGUGGCAGUGGUGGUGGAGAACAGUCUGGCGCAGUGCGAGGCCAUAGAAGGGGUAGUAAGGGAAUGAGGAGGACGUUGGUUACGGAGGCUGACCUAAGAUGCAAGUUGGUGGAUUUCGGGAAUGCAUGCUGGACUUAUAAACAGUUCACAAGUGACAUCCAGACAAGGCAAUACAGGUGCCCUGAGGUGAUUCUUGGUUCCAAAUAUUCUACCUCUGCUGAUAUGUGGUCGUUCGCAUGCAUUUGCUUUGAGCUUGCUACUGGAGAUGUGCUCUUCGAUCCACACAGCGGGGACAAUUUUGACAGGGAUGAGGUAAAGGACUUGAACUUUCUUGUACGUACAGGGAUGAUAUCCAGACAAGGCAAUACAGGUGCUGCGUCUGUCAAUAACUUUGACAUCUUACACCCUCUUCUCUAUUAGAAAGGGCAACAGAGAGAUUUACCGGCAAUGCCUGAAUGGAACAUCCUAUCUAAGAAAUGAGUUGGAACUUUCUUUUGUUUUCAUAUUUCCGCUAAUGAUAAAAACAACAACGUAAUCCACAUGCAUCACUACUAUUCACCUUCUCCACCGCUCGGGAUUCUGGCUUAUUAUGUCAAUUUGUCAAAUUUUAGCAACAUUUGAUUUAUUAUCUGCAGUAUUCUCUGUCUUUAUAAUGCAUUUCUAGUCUUUAGAUGAAUCGCUUGUUUGCCGUCAAGUAUUUGACCUCAGUAUUGUAACAACCUGUUGGCCGGCACUAGUUAGAGACAUUAGGGGAUAUAUUGUCAACCUCUCUGACUAGUGAAUGCACUCAAGUAUAGUGGCCUCCACUACUUGGAGAGGGCGGUUAUUUUACAAUCUACAGAGCUAUGGAAGAGAUGAUGUCAGUGGGGUUAAGUUGAAGUGAGAAUUUAACAUCCAUCUCACUCAACAUCACCAACUCUAAGGAAAGGCUUUUUAGGAGUUUGUUGUGUACGAACUUUAACAUCUGUUGGAUCAAUGUAAUACCUAGUAAUAGGGGACGCUAUGUAAUUAUCCAUUUGAGGCCACUUAGUGCGCUUCUUCCGCGCAACUCUAGUAAGCUGGUGUGCCUUGUUAUUGUACUUUAACUGCAUUAAUGUAUGGUGCCACAGGCCCCCAUGAGCAAAACCAAUGAUUUAAUCUUGCCUGAAUUUGGAUGGUUUUAGUGACAGGAAAUAAGUUUGGUUUCAGAUGCAGUUAGCACAACUCUUCAACCAAUCAUAAACAAUAAACCAAUAGAAAACCAAUGCAAAAUACCCAAACUAUAUCUGUGUGUAGCUGAUUUGGUUGGUGGACUUGUUCUCUUCAAUUUUGUGUUGCUUGGCUGGUUAUAUUUUGCAGAAUGCAUCAUAUUACAGUCUUGGGUUAUAUUUUCAGGACUUCCUGUUUGUUUAGUGGUUUCUUUAGUAAAGUCAGUAAUUUUGGUGUACACUUUUGGUGCUAAUGUGUGUCAGUUUCUUAAUUCUCAAACUAUUGGGGUCAUCACUUUCAAUUCCUUCUAUACUCUAAUCAAACACGUCCUAUUCCCAUUGCUACUGACAUCUGAGAUGUGUUUCCACUUCAUGAACAUUUCAACUGCUCAGUACUUAUCCUGAAUAACUACUGUUUCUCGAGUUACUUUGAUGCAUUAUCACUUUCUAUUUUGUUGGUUUUACCGCCUUUCCUUCCACAUCAGAUUAUCUUUCUUGCCUCUGUUCUUGCCACUGAAGUUCAUUUUUGUCAGCCUGCUAUAUUUUAUGCUUCUGUCAUUCUUUCUCUUUCUUUUUGUGGUUAAAGGUGUCUAGUAUUUCCUGUAUGUUCUGAUUCAUAUGUGUGAAGGUAGUUGCCUGUUUUUCUCAUAGAAAGCCUCUACUUUUUGGCAUUUGAAUCUCUAACUGCUUGUAGAAGUACCUUUACAGCACAGAUUCGUCGUGUCAGUGCCACACAGCCCUCUAAGAUAAAGAGCUACAUAGCCCCAUGUUGGUCCAGCAAUAAUCACAGUGGCUUAUGUUAUCACUAGGCUACAUGUUAUCAAUAUAAUGAGUGUUUUCAGCUGUCUGUUUGUUUUUGUCAUUUAUUUUUCCAAGAUUUACGCUUAUAAUAAUACAUCCAGUGCUGAGAAACUCUUGGAAGACAAUCAGAUCUUGAGGUUCUUGAAACGUACUUGGUGGAUUAAACAUUAACAUGAUAACGACCUUCUGACAAUUAGCAGUGUAAUUAGGCCUACUUACGCAUCUAAACAUGUAGAGGAGAUGAGGCUAUCUUGCAAUUGCCUUUGUGAAGCAACACUAUAUGCAGCAACCUGAGGCCAGCAACUUUAACCCCUGCCAACUGAUUCUAACUAUAGAUCAAGGUAGUCAUAUUUUUGCCAUUUAAGACCAAAUGUAACUGUGUUUCAUUUGGCGCUGACAUGGGGGACUCAUAAUGCUGUCUGGCCUCGUGCUGUACACUAAUCAUCUGCUGGGCAAAUAAGCUGCCUAUAUAUGAUUUGCAUUAUAACAUCGGCAUAUUGUUGUGUUAGGACGUGAAAAUAUUUUCCUACACUGCCUGUAUAAGCGAUAAUAAUUCUUUUUUAAUGCUAUGCAGGAUCACCUCGCACUGAUGAUGGAACUGCUUGGAAUGAUGCCUCGCAAGGUAAAUCAUCUUUUCUUUAGCCUACUAAGGAAGUCUCCUUAAUAAGCAUUGGAAAAAUGAUAAUAUGAAACUUUUGCUGUGACGGAAAGUUGGAAUGAGAUUAUGAGCCCCAAAGCCAAAUUCUCUGAGGGUGAAGCUUUUGCUUUUGUUAUAGAGGAAGUGUUUGGAAUUAUUGAUGAAAACGAUGUUAAUUCUUUUUCACUCAGCAGCACUUUUGUAGCAGCUCUAGCAAGGCCAAAGCAUUAAUUCAUGUAUUACUGUUCUCUCGCAGAUAGCCUUGGGCGGCCGAUACUCUCGCGAGUUUUUCAACCGGUACGGCGAUUUGCGGCACAUUCGCCGCCUGAGAUUCUGGCCCCUCAACAAGGUACUCAUGGAGAAAUACGAGUUCAGCGAGCAGGAUGCAAACGACAUGGCUGACUUUCUUGCCCCUAUACUAGACUUUGUUCCAGAGAAGCGGCCCACUGCCGCCCAAUUGCUUACCCACCCAUGGAUCAAUGCUGGGCCUUUGACUUGUGAACCAAGGUCUCAGCCCGAACCAACCCAGCCGUCAGUGGACGGUGUUUCUGAGAAGCAAAAGAAGGAGAAAGAGGAGCGAGAUGCGAUGGCAGUGGGGAUAGGAAAUAUUGCAAUUGACGGAACUGCAAAAGUGGGAAAAGAUUCUCCAGCUGGCAGUAAGGUGGGAAAGGCAGUUGUUACAUCUUCGAGGUAGGUUUUGUUUUGUUGCAUUUGGCCUUUAGAUGGAAGCUUUUUCAGUUGUUUGUAUCUUGGAUGAGUGGAUGGCUGGCUAUACCUUUCGGUUUUUGAUUGUUUUAGGUAUGGACGUAAAAUGGAAAAUUUUAGGUGUAUGUUAGCAUUCAGUUGGGGUUACUAAGACUGUUCCCCUUUUGACUAAGGACCUCUACUUAUUUUAUGAGGAGUUCAGAUUCUUGAGAUUCUUUUGAAUUGAAUUCAAUUGAAAGCCCCAGUUUUGGAGGUCUUUCCCCCCUCUUCGAUUGGUGGAUUGAUUUGACAGCGGUAUAAAUUUUGUUUUUAAAUUGAGUUAUGAUCAGAACAAUAGAUUGCCAGAAUAAUAUAUCAAAAUGCAAUUGCCUUUUCAUGGUGAAACUAUUAAAUUUGAAGAUACUGAAACAGCUUUCCAUUAAUCAUACUACAAUAGUUUUCAUUAAUCCUACUGUAAUAGGUUUGAUCACCACUGCUUGCGCUGUUAUCUUCUUUGGGCAUGGAAGCUUUUGCGGAACUAGCUUUCCACUUCUAUUUAUAACUUUGGCAUCUUACCAAUGAGUUGUAAACCACCAACAUCAAAUCCAACGCUGAAAAUCUUAGAUGUGUUAAAGCUAAAUUUAGGUAAUGAGUUAAAAGAGCCAACCAAUCAAUUCUGCUAAAAAAUCGCUUCAAACUUGUAGAGGAUGUUCAUUCUAAGAAGAUCUUUCCAAAACGGACACCAUUAAUGAACAUGCGGUUAUUGAAGAGUUUGGAAUAGCAAACUGAAUAAAAUUAGCCAAUCCUUCCAAGUAGUUCUGCAUUGUCACCGUUGCUAACCUUGGAAGUCGUAGCUCUUCUCCUGCUGAUUCUCGAGUCUGAAGUACACAUUGAAAGCAUAAGAUGCAUUUCCUUCGGCACCGCAACUGUUGUAUGUUGAAACAUAGCCAAGCGAAGUGCAAUCUGCAUAAUUGCGCUCGAAUAGCAUGUUUUCUCCAAUCUUACUGAGAUCUUUAGCAUUUGGGUACAACAGCAUGCACCAUUUCUCAGGCAAAUACUCCACACAUUCUUCGCCCCAGCAAGGUGCUUCAGAUGACAAUUGUAGAACCUCGCAGCAUAGCUCAUCUUUGCAUUUAUCUCUCCAUCAGCAGACCAAACCAUCUUCCCCUGUGAUGAUCGGCAUGUUGCUGAAGCUGAUUUUCUUCAGAGCAGAGACCAAGGUAUCAAAAUUGGCAUCAUUCAUCAAACACACCAUUAUAUAAACUCCAUAGUCAAUGAUUGCAGUUGGUGUGCCGUCAAAGAAAGCGAAGUCCAAGCGUCAGUCAUUAAGGAACAUCAGGGCAGAGUUUAUGAAGGAACUAAUAUUCUCUCUCUCUCUCUCUCUCUCUCUCUCUCUCUCUCUCUCUCUCUCUAUAUAUAUAUAUAUAAGGUACCCAUUUGGCUUUUGUAAGAAAAUUUACAGCCGUUUUACCCAUCAGCCCAUUAAGGAACAGCAGGGCAGAGUCCAACUCCUGGCUGAUCGAAAGAAGCCAGCACAGUGGGAGUUCACAACAGUCGGGUAAAAGGAAAGCAAUUAUAACUGUGGGAACCAAGAAAUCAAACUGGUGAGUAAUGAGGAAAACCAGCCCUCCAUUACUGAAUAACUAUCUUUUCACACCAACACAACACACACACACACCCUAAACCCUAAACCCUAAACACACAGUUAACUAAGGCUUCUUGAAGCAAAUCUAGCAUUGUGGAUGCUUUCUGUUUUAGUUCAACUACAUCAAAGCCAUAUCUCGAAAUAAAGUACAAUAAAGCAAAUCAAAACCCCUCAGGACACAGGUUUCACCCAAGUUACCUUUUAUAUUGGCUGCCGCACCUCAGACUGAAAAAUCGGACAACAAAAAAUAAUAUUCAAAUAAAUAUACACAAAAAGGAAUGCAAGGAACCAGCAGAUUUGCCAUACUUAUUACCAACUUCCUGAAGCAAUUGUUGUAAGUCAUGUACAAAUAAUCCUGACAGAGUCUCUGGAAUAAACAGAUAAAUAGGACGGAUAGCAGGUGCAAAGCUAGGACAAACAGAUGCUGAUAAAAGAGGAACCACACAAUGAAUAUAUUUAAUCUAAAGGGCCAGAAUGAAAUAAUGAUGAAAUUUGGCGCAAACGGGAUAUGACAGAGAUAGGCGACCUUUUCGCUUAAGAAUGAGCCAGCCUCUUGACAAUAGAGGCCAUAUACUUGCCCUGGUGCUCAGCAAGAGAGAGCUCCGUCUCGCUAGGUUGCCUUGAGCCAUCACCAGCAAAAACUCCGGCACCGUAUGGAGAACCUCCUCUAAUGUCGUCCAUCUUGAACAUUCCCGCUCCAAAGGUAUAACCAAUCGGAACAAAGAGCAUUCCAUGGUGGGCUAAUUGGGUGAUUGCAGUCCAACUGUAGAAGGAAGAAAAUGACAGUACAUACGCGUUACCGACGAUACUUAUAUUGCAAAGUUCACACUUUGAACUAAUGUCAAAAAAACCACACUUAAUAUGGCUUAUGGUACAGACCAAGUCAGUCACAAAUCUGCAUUAUUACAUUGUACUCUAGAAAACUUCACAUUUCUAAAAUAGACGGUGAUAAGCAAGAAUUUACUACACACAAAGCAUCAAAUUAUCCUCGUAGAAUUCAAAUGUAGUGGAAUAUGUACUGUUAUAAUGUAUUUUCAUAAACAAUUAAUUUGGCGAUGCAUCCUCAGAAAGUUACUGCUUUCCAGCGUGUGUUCAUUUUCAACAGUAAUAAUCAUAGUAGGGCUACUUAUGCUGCAGCCGCAAGCUUCUCUAGAUCCUUACCCACAGCUAGAUUAUAACUGAUUAAUUUUGGCAUUCCUACGAUCGUUAAAUGACGACAUCAAAAGAAAAACAUCAGCACAACCAGUAACUAGAACCUCAAGUCCUCAACUAAGAUUCUAGAAGUAAAAAUCUUAUGCUUAACACGCCAAAUUUGCUUAGCAAUCUCCUCAGCUAUGUUUCUCCCACACCCACUUUUAGGCACAUCGCUAUUUCAAAUCAUUUUUACUGCCCCUCCCUCACAGUGAUACUUCAUCUACUCUCAUGCCUUGGGCAACUAGCAUUAGGUAGUCCGAAUCAGUCAUUUCUGCACUCUAUCUAUUAACUGUUCUCCACGUAUCUAAGAAAUCCCCAUAGUUUUCUCAUUGUUGUUGGGCAUGUCCAAACAUCAUCUAGCAACUCUGCCACUUCCCAUCCAGAUUAGAAACCUGCAAGUCUCCCUCAAAAAGUAUCGCGGUACGGGGUGAAAUGGACAUAGUGUGUGGGACCUAAAGUGUUGUGGUACGAAGUGAAACGGACAGUGUGUAGACGUCGAAUCUAUCAACAAACAGGGUAAUAAGAAACAAGCUGCUGGGCAUUGUUUGUAACCAUAUAAUGUUGAUUCUCAUUUUGAUCUCAAUUCGGAGAUCUAUUUACAAAAACAUGCAGCGCUGCCGACAAAAAAUCUUAAAACGGAUGCAUUACACCCUACAUGUAAAAAUGUUUCAUCAAACAAUGGUACUUUGGGGGCUUCAAAUUGCGUUUCUUUUGUUCCCCAAACAACCAAAAACAAAAGGGUGAGCCUUGAGACCAGGCAUUUCAUGAGCCGCAUCACAAGGAGAAGACUUUCCACGACGACAUAUCGGUGUAGAGCUGGACAUUGGAAGGAAGGAAGACAUAGGUUCGUUGUUUGAUGCAAUGACAACAGAUAAAAAUUGUGGUUGGUGAAUGUUCGAAUAAUGGAAAUAAUAAUUCAACCAUGCAUCCAUCAAUUCCACGAAAACCUUAUUGUUUGUUGCACUCAGAAGCAAAAUUAAUUUAGGAAUUUAGGAGGAGUUAAAAAAAGAAUCAUAAUCUUACGCAGUGGUUUCCUGUCCUCCUCCCUGGGUGCCGGUGCUGACGAAGAAACCGGCAGGCUUGCCGGCCAGCUUCUGCUCCCUCCAGAGCUGCCCGGUGGAAUCGAAGAAGGCCUUCAUCUGCGCGGCCAUCGCCCCGAAGCGCGUGGGGAAGCCGAAGAGCAGCCCGUCGGCCUCCACCAGCUCCGGCGCGGUGAUGACCGGGAUCUGCGGAUCCUUGGGGGGCGCCUUCAUCUGCUCCAGCACCUCCGCAGGGAGCGUCUCGGCGACGCGGUAGAGGGCGGCCUCCACCCCCUCGAUGCUCUCCGCGCCCUUCUUCAUCCGCCUCGCCAGGGCCUCAACGUGCCCGUACAUGGAGUAGAACACGAUGAACACCUUCAGCUUCAGAUCCGACGCCGGAGCAGCAGCCGCAGCCGCGGGAGUUUCGGCGGCAUCGGUGCUGCUCGCGGGGCUCUUCUGAUCGGCGGUGAUGGGAGCGUCCCCCGCCGCCAAAGUGUUGCCGGUUGCCACGGCCGGCUGCCGCUUCUUGCUCGGUACGCAACCUCCUCCUUUCCCCAUUACAGAUCUCAAUCUAUCUAUCUAUCUAUCUAUCUAUCUAUACGAUCUCAUCAACUGGUCAAAAUAACAAAUGAAAGAGAGAGAGAUGUUAGGUUACAACAACAAGAACAACGAAAAUCAAAAAAAAAAAAAAAAAAAAAAAAAAACGCACCUUUUUAGGUCUAGAGGGUAUCAGCGGGAGAUGGCUCGAAUUGUCACCCAAAUGAAGCGUUCUCUCUACAAAAUCUGCCGCUUUUUCCCCGAAUUCUGCUUCCGAUUUCUGCAGGAAUUAAGUCUAAAUCUCUCACGGGAAUCAAAAUUUUGCCCGCUUUUAAUCCGGAACCAAAGCAACACAAUCUCCUGGAAGGAAAUGGAGUGAAUUCCUCCGGCGGAAUUCGCCAAUCCUCUCAGAAAAUGACCUCUUGAAGAACCCCAGAAAAAAGAAAAAAAAUGAAAUAAAAUCUCCCUUUCAGUCCCCUGGAACAAAUUAAAAAGGGACAAGUAGCAACUAAUUAAUUUCGGUAACUAAAAAUUCAAACUUUGAACCUUGUAACGAAAACAACAAGGCGACUCGAAAUCUCCACGCAAAAGAGACGCUUACAGCGAUGGUUCUCUCCUACCCCCGCCACCCACCUUUCCGGAGAUCCCAAUAAUGAAAAGUCGCAGCUUCUUCCCACUAAUCCAACCUCUAUCUAUCGCUCUGUUGUCUCUUCCCAGUUCUCACUCGCGGGCAUUAUUUUUCUUUCCUCGCUGUCUCCUUGCUGGCUUCCAGAAGCCCUGGACGAGGACGACCCGACCCUCCUUGUCAGACUCAGACUUCGGUUGGUCGUCACCUGCGACCGAAACCAAAUGAAUCAGCUGUUCCUGUUCGGCUCGCUGCGAGAAAAGCCGAUGCGCCAGUUCAUAUCUAAAUGCUGAGAUCCACCUCCUCCUCAGAUGCCACGUAUGGAGUCUGCGUUACAUGACCUAAACGAGCCGGAAAGUGACGUCAACUUCGCACGCUUUGUGGGCCCCGCCUUUAUUUCGAUCUCCUCUCAGAAUCUCUCUUACUUUCUGGGCCUUUUCUUUUCCAACUGCCCAGAGUCAAAGCUUCGUUGGACUUCACCAAUGAGGAGCCCAAUAUCAGCGACUCCACCGUGUCCCUGUGGGAAACAGGAAAAAAAAAACUAAAAAAAAAAACUAUUUAAAAAUAGUCCGUUGCAUUCAUGUGCCCGAGCGAGCAUGGAAGUUAAUGCUGGUUGGUUAAUUUGAGGGCAGCACAUAAACAUAAAUAUAAAUAUAAAUAUAAAUAUAAAUAUUCAUUUCUCCCGAGCGUCUACGCAAAGGUGAAUCAAGUAACUAUUAUUAUUCAACUAAUGUCAGAUGACGCUUGGCUCCAUUCCUUCACAUUCCAUGAGUUAGUUUUUAAAUUCUUCGAGCAGCACAAACUACGUACCACCGAGUUGCCAUUUUCUAAUCUUUAUCCCAAAAAAUAAAAAAUAGCAGACCUCCACCUUCGACUUGAGAGAAAGAGAAAAAAGAGAAGACGUAAUCUAUUGUGAAGAGAAGAAGGCAACAAAAGUGUAAUAUAAUUUAGGAAUUUAACCCACGCAAGAGAGGAUUACCUGACUUUGACUGGGUGAAAGGGCGUGCCCAAGGAACAAGAGAGGUGAAAAGGCAAUAUCCCGUCUAAUCAAACCUGGCGACCGAAGAAAUACUCAGAGUUGAACUAAGCUAGACCUGGCUCCAGACCUCAUAUCGGGACUGAUUUUCGUUUUUUUUCCUUUCUUUUUUAACAGGGAAGGCUUGGAUCGGGUCAGGCCCAGAAAAAAAAAAUAGUCCAUAGAUAUUGUCAGACGGAAGUAAGCAUCAAAACAUUAAAAAUUUUGGGCAGGUUCAUAUAAAUCAGAAAAAAAAAAAUAUAAUGUGGGGUCCAGCCCAACAUUUUCCCUACCUUGCUGAUUUGAAGGCCUGUCCCGAUCCAAUGUUCUCGGGCCGACCCACAGAAAUAAUAGGGCCGAACGGGGCCGGUUUUCGCGUUAGAUCGCGGAUUUUUGUUUCUGCUCCUUUCUCCGCCAAUAGGAGAAUAGACUGCUCUUCCAAGCGUCGCUUCCGCAGUCGCUGGAAGAGCGAUUGCCGUGGUCGUGUGCUCUUCUUCCUUCUUUCUUUUGGUUUUUUAGGGGGGGGGGCGGGGGUCCUUGUCUGCGUUGUGACUCUUCAACUCUGUGUGUUUGGCUUCUCUUCACUUUUUUAGGACAUGACAUUUUUUUGAAAGCUCUUCUUUUUUUUUCUUUUUCUUUUUCUUUUUCUUCCUAACGAUCUGAGAUGUCAAUUUUUUUUUUUAAAAAAAAAAUAUAGCAUGCUACUUGCUUCGUUUAUUUUUUAAAAAAAUAAAUUUAGUUGAAAAUAUAAAUUAAUUAGGAUUUGAAUUUGAGACCUUAGAUACCACUUGCACUAAAGACGAUCGGUCUCAUACUCUCAUCUGUCAAUUUUUAAUGUAGUUUAAUGUGGAUUUGACAUAGAAUAAUUAAGAUUCCAUCAUCGCUUCUUCUGGGAAAAUAAUCGGAAGAGAUUUAGUGUAAAAUGGUCCAAAGCCAGGCCCAGCGUAAGGGACGAGUGGGGCAAGGAGCCCAUGAAAGAGUUCCAGAAAAGCUAGCUAAGUAAUAAGCCGGUAAAUCACUACUACCUCUACCUGGGACGAAAGAAGGGAACUGAAAUGUAAUAAACAUGCGUCAGUGUACCUAACAACUGUUGCAAGUAGAUCGAACUACGUGGAAACUGACGGUAUCACUCGAAGGACUUCGUUGCAGAAAAAUAAAUAAAUAAAUAGUUUUUAAAAAAUAAAUAAAAAAUAAAUAGUUUUAAGGAAAAAAUCUCUUUUGCUGGAUGAGGGAGCCCAUUGAGUUACAUCAUUUAGGUAGUGUUUGGUUCGGGAACAAAGGAGGGAAUAAGCCCUUGUUCCCCCCUUUGUUCCCAAACGCAAUGUUUGGUUCCCGGAAACAAUAGUUUCCGGGAAUCUGGAACUAGCUGGUAUAAGGCUGGAACUGCUGUUCCACCCGUUUUCUGGAACAAGCUCGUUCCUUGAUGAGAACAAGAUUAAUUAAAAUCUAAAUUUAAUUUUAAUGGCAGUAAAUUAUUAAUUAAUCUAAUUAAUAUAAUUAAAUAAUUGAUAUUAUUAAUUUAUUAUUUAUAAAUAAUUAUUAAUAAUUAUUAUUAUUUAUAAUUAAUUAAUAAUAAUUAAUUAUUUAUUUAUUUUUAAGUAAUAUUUUGAUGUUAAUUAAUUGCAUAAUAUAAUUUUAAUUUCAAAUUAUAACUCUUAUUCUUCUUGUUCCAAUCUAACAAUCUAAAUACAAUUUAUCUUAUUCCUAUGAACAACCCAAUUUUCAUCCAAACGCAAAAUUGGUCUAGUUUCUGCUUAUACCUGAACUUGUACCUAUCCUUAGAACAAGCAAUUCUUACUUAUACCUGAACCAAACGUAGCCUUAGAGUUUUAGGUUGGAGAUCAUGUAUUUCUCAAAGUCUCGUCCUCUAAGGGGAUAAAAUAUUUUUGAAUGCGUGGAAAGAUUAGUCCACAAUACAUUGGACCUUUUGAGAUAUUAGAGCAAGUUGGACUUGUUGCAUACUGAUUAGCUUUGCCGCCGAGUUAAGCUGGUGUACAUGAUGUGUUUCAUGUCUCAACCUUGAGAAAGUAUAUUUUUGAUCCAUCACAUGUAAUAAAUUAUGUUCCACUGAAGGUGACUGAGGAGAUGAGCUAUAUUGAGUGAUUGGUUCAAAUUCUUACACGAAAGAUAAAAGAAUUGCGAAACGGAGUUAUUCCUUACGUGAAAGUAUUAUGGAGUCAACAGAAAGGCGAGAGGCUACUUGGGAGCUUGAGGAUGCGAUGCAAGAAUCUUAUCCCUAUUUAUUUGAGUAGCUGACUUGAGGUAUAUUUUAAGUUUCAAGGAUGAAACUUUUAACGGAGGGGAGGAUGUGAUAUACUAGACAUUAGCUAAUAUGCAAGGUUGUAGUCUGUAAUUUUAGUUGACUUUUUUUUAAUAUAUAUAGUGUUUGAUUGAGUUAGAGACGUUUUAAUGCAAAAUAGAUGCAAAAAAAGGACUCAAAUUUCAAAGAUUUAAUUUGUGUGAAAGAAAGUUGAAAUAUUGGAUAUUGAGGGACUUUGCAUUUUCAGUUGGUGGAGUCCAGGUUGUCAUCUCCAUCCUUAUCCUUUCAUUUUUUUUUUGGUUAACUUUGGAGAAAGAGAGAGAGAGUGAUUAAGUUAGCUAGAAAAAGAGAGAGAGAGAGAGAGAGAAAGAGAGGUGAGCUUGGUUUCAAGCGAGCGAGUCGAGCGUCCGUGAGUAUGUGUUUUUCUAUGGUCCGAAGUCGGGAUCCUUAUAAAUACAUAAUUUGACAAUUCUUUAAGGUAUACGUGGCAAUUUUUCAGGCUUCCACGUCUAUCUGCACUUUUUUACUUUCAAAUGGAGGAUCUUAGUCUAAAUGGAGGAUCUUAGUCUAAAUGGAAGAUCUUGGUCAAGAUAUAAUUCCUUCCCAAGGUUGUCCUUCCCAAGAUAUAGUUCUUUCUUAAGGUUGUCCUUCCCAAGAUUUGACUAAGAAAUUUUCAAAGUUGCAUCAAUAUCUCCUUCUCUCUCUUUCCACACAGCAAAAUAAAAAUAAAAUAUAUAUAUAUAAAGAGAGAGAGAAUGAAAGGGAGAGAGAUCCAAGAUCUCUUUUAACAGAGAGAAAAAAAGAGAGGUAAAGAAAGAGGGGUCAUCCACAUCUUCGAUUUGCAAAACAAAAUAAAAAAAAAAAAGAGAGCAAAAGAAAGAGCAAAAGAAGGUAGAAGAAAGAAAGUUAAAAAUAAAUAGAGAGGAUCAAACAGAGAAUCGGCGAACAACGCUGCAGGAGGAGAGUUAAAAAUAAAUAGGGAGGAUCGCACAGAGAAUCGGCGAACAACGCUGCAGGAGGGGAGGUCUUCCAUAUUGCAAGGGAGGAUCGUACAGAGAAUCGGCGAACAAUGCUGCAGGAGGGGAGGUCUUCCAUAUCGCACACAAUCCACAGUUUACUUACUUUAAAAAAAAAAAAAUGAGAUGGAGAAUAAAGAGAACGUAGAAGAAAGGUAGUGUGUACCAGAGAAACAAAGUAGAUAAGGAUUAAACAAAAAAAAGAAGAAUAUAUAUGAAAAAUAAAAUAAAAAAACAGAGAGAAGAAGAACUGUGCUCCUCCUCCUUCCUUCCCUGUCCGUUGACGUACUCGCUGCAUCCACCGUGUCCGCCGCCACGUCUACCAAACCCGUCGUUGCCCAUCGCCGUCGCUGCCCGAGGCCACGUCCACCGCGUCUGCCGCUGCCGCUGCCGCGUCUACCGUCGCCGACGCCCAACGCCGCCCGCUGCCGCAUCCACCACGUCCGCUGCCGCGUCCACCGUCGACGACGCCCAACGCCGCCCGGAGUCAGCCCAACCCGGCGCUGUCCGCUGCCGUACCCGCCGACGUCGCCCAACGCUGCUGAAGCCGCCGUUGCCACAGCAUCCACCGCCCAAGUUGCCCGACGCCGCCCGAGCCGCAUCCGCUACCAUCGCCGCCCGAGCUGCUAAGCCCGAGCCCAACGCCAAUCGAACCGCCGCCGCGUGCACCAUCAACACCAUCUUGCCUGUUGCCAUUGCUGCUGAAGCCGAGGUCGCAACCUCUCAAGUGAUUUGGUUGCUUCGGGAGCAAGAAAAAGGCAUUAAAGGAAAAGGGAUAAAAGGAAAAGGGAUGGAGUGUUGUUUUCUUUGCUUACUCUAAAGUGUACCCUAUAAAUUUUUUCAUGACAUUUUGAGUUAGAUUAAAAAAAUGAUGAGACUUACCUAUUGUUAAAAGAGGAAAAGAGAGAGGGGUAAUCCAUAUCUUUUUUUGCAAAACAAAAAAAAAAAGAAAAAAAGCAAAGAGAAGGUAAAAGAAAAAGAGUUAAAAAUAAAUAAAUAAAUAGUGUGUGUAUAUAUAUAUAUAUAUAUAUAUAGAUNAAAGCCCAAAAUAAGUGAAUUUUUUAUGCAAAAAGGCCAUAUAUAUAUAUAUAAACUCUUCUUUUCUGUUCGCCGCGUUUUCAUCUUACCAAAAAAUAAUUUAUUAAAAAAAUAAAUUUUUUCACCUUUUUAAGAGAAAAUUUAUCUCUUUGCAUUUUUUUUCUCUCCCAUCAAAAUUUUUUUUUAUUUUUUUAUCUUCCCAAAAAAUAAUAUAUUAAAAAAUAAUUUUUUUACCUUUUCAAGAGAUAAUCAAAGCUUCAAAAGCUAAGCUUCUAUCUCCAUUCCUUAGUUUUGAUUUCAUAUAAUUUUGAAGUUGGUUUUCAUGAACAAAAGAGUAAUGUUUUGAGUUUUGAGUUUUGAAUUUUGAGUUAGCAAUUAUUUUAAUAUUGAGAAGUUAACAUUUUUUUAUUAUACUUUUAUUUUUUAAAAAUAAAUUUUAAAUUUAAAGUAAUUAUAUAUUAAUUUAUUAAAAUUUUAUUUAUCCGCAGUGAAGCGCGAGUUUUAUACUAGUUAGUAUCAUAUUUGGGGUUUGGGGUCUUAUAUGGGUUGCCAAAUUGCAAAAAGACCCUCCCUCAAUUCAUAUUUGCAGCAAACCAAAGUCUGCUGCGAAACAGACUUGGUGUAGAUACUAAAUAAUUUUGUCACCGGUUACACGAUUACGCGCAGCCAAACCCGAGAGCUAUUUUCUCGGGUAACAGUACCGGUAACGGUACUAACCAGGGGUGUAACCGGUUUAACAGUCUUUUUUAGGACUUAGCCAAAUUUUCAGCAUUUCUCCGUUUUCGCUCGUUUUCGCUCGUUUGGCCUCCGAUUCGUCUCAAAUCGCACCGAGACCCCCAAAGCAUGUUUUCAAGCAUGUUUCAACCAUCAUUUCACCCACGCUUAUGCUGAAUUUAGUCCAUGGUCCAACAUAGCCUUUUGAGUUCCGUUUUCGUGCCCAAUGCGCACCGAAAUACCCAAAUGCUCCCGAACUUCAAUCUCACAUUGUUUCGACUCUAAUUCACGCCGAGCAAUGUUAAAACCUUUCCAACUCCCUUGGAACUCAACUUUAACCCUUCCAAUAUUAUUAGAAUGUUAAAUGGAGUUUGUCCGACUAUUCCUUUCGCGCGCUUUAGUCAAUUCGACUAAAGUUCGAUAUAAUAUACCAAGGUUUCGGUAUAUUAUAGCCAUUAACACCCAUAAGCAUGCAAGAAAAAAUCUAAACAAUGAUUGAUUUAAAUCUACGCAUGCGAUCUUGUUAAAAAAUUAAUUUAGGGAACGAAGUCAACCUAAUAAGGCUCUGAUACCAAUGUAGAACGUAGCGGAAAUAUUCGUUUGUACCUUUUAGCGGAAGCAACUUGCGUUAGAACGUGAUGAGCCCGGAUCGUAGAAUUUGAUUCACGUAUCCUCGGAUCGUCCACGAAAAUCUUCUAUUGCUCCAAAUUCGCGGUAGAUCAAACUACAAACGAGCACGAUUUCCAAUCCACCAUUCAAGACCCUUUAAAAUAAUAGGUUAAUGGAGGAUGUGGUUUCUACUUUCUCUCUUGAUUUUCUUGUUGUCUUUCUUAUCUUCAUCUUAUGUGAGAUUGCCCGUAUAUUUAUAAGGGAUUCCAAAAUCCUAAUCGAUACGUAAUAGAUAAGGCCAAGUCGGUUCAUAAUUGUUAUUCUAAUAUGGUUAGAGUUUAUCUCUAAUUAGCUUUUCAAUUUAAAAGCGAGAUUAAUACUAGUCCAAUUAGACAACAUAAUAAUCGUCGGAUCAAGCCCAAUUAUGAGCGCACCUAAUUCGAUUUAACCGAAUGCCGACAUUGGAUUUUUGAAGGUUUUGUUGAGUUUUCCUGUUAGAUUAGAGCAAUGAAAAAGUGCCUUCGAGUUUCAUCCCAUUCUGUUAUUGGAUUUGCAAUCCAAGGUGGAUUUAAUUUACUGAAAACAACGAAAUCCCUACUAUGUCUAUAAUUAUCGCAUGUUGGUGGUUAGUGUGCAAGUAUCCAGAUUUGUUAGUGUGUAAGUUUCCAGGUUAAAUUGAUAUUCCACUCAUGUUAUUAUGUUUGGUAGUCAGCAUCAUGGUAGUGGGAUAAUACAACCUGUUAACUUGAGUUCAUUCAUGUAUAUUAUACUAGUAACCAGCAUGUGAAGAGGAAUUACAAUAAUGAUCGACAUUAGUUCAUGUCAUUGCGUAUAUAUAAACCUACACUAUACAAUUCACUAUUUCCGUCGAUAUGUUUUGUCAUUAAUUAGCAUCAGUUUUUAGACGAUCUAUACCUAGGUUGUUGGGUAGGGAGUGAUUGAGAUAGUGUAGGAUUAUUUUACGUCCAAACUGUAGAUCGAAAACUUAUAGUAUAUCAGUUGGUAGAUGGAUUAGAGUUUUAUUUUACCGUGGAUGAUACGGCUUUUUCGAAUUAUUGUGUUACACUCUGGAUUGUGCCGAAAGCACAUGGAUAGUAUGAUUUAUGAUUUAGUUGAUUAUUUGUAUUGACUACAACCUGCAUGAGCUACAUUUGAGCUCAAAAAAGAUACACAAUGUAUGCUCGGUGGGUUUGCGCCCCUCGAAUACCGCUUCGAAGUCUGACUAUAGCAUUGAUGUUGUAGCAGCCUGGUGGGCAACCUACAUAUUAACGGACUACCUGCAAAAGUGGUACCGUGGCGAUAGAUUGAUCGGACCCUCAAGUCAGUGAAUGAGAUUGGGUUUUAAUUGUGAGCGCCUGAUAGUUAGUUGAUUCACAUAUAUACAUUCAGCAAUUUUAUCAAGUACAUCUGUAGUAUAGAAGUAUAGUGGCUGUAGAGUUUCAUUCCAACUUAUACCUAUAUCCUAUUGUACAUGUUGAUCAUCAUUUAUUUCUACGCCUCUAGUUAGGGAUGUAAUGUGGGCCGUGCCGGGCCGGCACGACCCACAUUUACCGGGCCAAAAUCGGCUGGAGGCCAGCCCGGCACGGCCCGGCCCCAAAGUCGGGCCGUGCCGUGCCUGGCCCAAAUUCUUGGACCCCGGCCCAGCACGACCCCUCGGUCCGGACUGUACGGCCCGUGCCGGGCCGGGCAGGGAUUCGGGCCAGCUCUUUUUUAUUUUAUUAAUUUUAUUUUAAAAAAUAUUUAAAAUUUUUUUAAAAUAAAAUUAAAAAUAUUAUUUUAAAAAAAAUAAUAUAUAAGUAAAAAGAUUUUAAAUUUUAAAAUAUAUUUAUAAAAAUAUUAAAAUUUAAAUUAUUUUAAAAUUUUAAAUUUUUGGAUCAAAAUGCCCUUCCCUACAGUCAAAAUUUUGACCGUUGGAAAGUGCAUUUUGGUCCAAUAGGCCCAUCUCCCAAGUUAUGACAGACUCUUGGGAAGCCCCAAAUCCUAACCCCAACUCCCAAAGCAUUGGGAGUUGGGGUGGUCAAUGUUGCAGGGAGACUUGGGAGUUGGGUACAACCCAACUCCCAGCCUGGGCCCGGCUCGGGAGGCACUUGCCACACGGGCCGGGCCGGGGCAUCCCUCAGGCCCGGCAAGGCUCAGGCCCGUGUCGUGCCGGGCCGUGCCGGGCCACCGGGCGCGGGAGCAAGGCCCGGCACAACCCGGUUUAAUUAGCCGGGCUAGCACGGCACAAGAACGACAGUGCUCGUGCUGUGCCUGGCCCGGCCCGUUUGACACCCCUACCUCUAGUAGACCUAGUAGGUAAGUCAUUGCCAUCAAUAACGGUACCUAUUAAGGACUAUUUUUACAGUAGUUCUCAUGCAUUCUAUUAUUAUUAUUAUUAUUAUUAUUUGUUAGAGCCCUCUGUGCCGAUUGCUGAUUCUGACCCGAGAUACGAGAAGUGGGUUAGUUAGCAUCUCCUUCCUAUGUCGACCGUAUUAGUGGAGAACUCGAUAGAGACUGAUUUUUUAGGGAGCAUAUUGUAUAUAUUGGGACUGGCGAUGCCAGUUUUACUUUAUUUUAUUUACAGUUUUGGGAGAUGUCGUUGUACUUAUGGUUGUGAUGUAUGUGUAGUAUAACUUCAUUUUUGUUAGUUAUUUUAUUCGAGCUCUGAUAUCUGUUAGUUGUAACCUUUAGGACUGCUAAUUGUACUGAUUUUUGAUGCUUUGUGUGCACAAGACUUUUCGUGUAUGGGCAGAUCUGUUGGCAAAUCUGAAUUUCUGCCGUAACUUAGGACGUGACAAUACUCGUGAAUGAAGUAUAUUUUUUAAAAAUGGAUCACAUAUGAAAAAUAAAGGUGUCCAAAAUAUCCGAAAUCCCAUACCCGAACUGGACCCGAACCGGACCCGAUAAAAAAUGAAUAGUAUACGGAUAAAAAAAAAUUACCCAUUAAAGUUUCGGGUAUGGGUCCGGAUAUUUUAUACCCAUACCUGAUUUGGACCCGACCCGAACCUAACUUUUAAAUGGGUAGGGUCCGAAAUAGUUUUCAAAUCCGGACUCGGACCUGGACCCGAUGAAAUAUUCGAUAGUAAAUAAAAAAAAAUAAACUUUUGAAGUUGAAGGAUCAAUUUUAAUAUGACUUAUAGAUGAUGAGUCACUACGUAUUUUCAUCCUAAGAAACCCUAGCCGUCUCUUUUACUCAUUACUUUUUUCUAAUUUUUUUACUCUUUGUUUUCUACUCUUUUUUUUUCAUUUCAUUUUCGCCAACAAUAUUUCAUUGUCAUCAUCAUCAUCAGUGUCAUCAUCAUCAGCAGCGACAAUAUUUCUUUUGAAUGAAUUUUAUUGGACUGUACAAUUUAUUAGAAUGCGAGUUUUUUUUAUAGUGGGCUUUAUAGUUUGUCUAUUGACUAUUUAAUAAAGUUUAUAAAAAAAUAUAUAUUUAUACGGAUAUCCGUACCCGAUCUAGACCCGAUCCAAAUCCGAUCUUGAACGGGUAGUAUACGGGUAGUCACUAUCCAGCCCCGCUCAAAUAGACCCGAUGGGUAUAUUAGUAACUUUAGUACCCAGAUCCGGACCCGACCCGAAGUUAAAUAGGUAUGGUAUAUAUAUUUUUCUGUAACCAUUUCUUUUUAGGGUAUGGGUACAGUAUAUUAAUUAUCCAGACCCGACCUAGUCCACGGACAUCUUUAAUGAAAAAUAAUCUUAAAUGGAAUGACAUUAAUUAGAAAUUUAACAAAUGAGUUAAUAUAAACUAUUAGGCCAAAGUCCGCAAGCUUUUGCCUCGGAUUAAUUUGUAGAGUAAAUGUGUGACAGCCUGUGACUUAGGGCCCCCCGUUUGGCCUAAAUUCUCAAAAAGUGAUUUCCGUAGAAUUAAUUUUGUUUUGGAGAAUUUAUUUUGGUUGAAAGUUGUAGAGUGUUUGAUGGAGUUUCGAUGGAAAGAUAUUUCUCUGAAAUGAUUUUGUAAGCUGUUUAGCAAAAAUUUUUGGAUCUUGGUAUAUAAUAAUUUAUUUUUACUAAAUUUUAUUUCUAAACAUUUCAAAUUUAAAUUAAAAUUAAAAUUUUAAUUUCAAUUGAAAUUUUAAAAUUUAAGUUGCACGAAAAUUUGAAUUUUAACAUUAUAAUUUAAAAUAUAUAUUUAAAAUUUAAAAUUUAAAUUUUAAAAUUUAAAUUUAUAAAUCUAAAUUUAAAUUUUUAAUUUCAAAUAUAAAAUCUAAAUUUAAAUUUUGAAAAUUGAAAUUUAACAUCUGAAAAUUUGAAAUUUAAAGUUUGAAUAUUAAAAACUUAAAACUAAAAAUUUAAAAUUUAAAUUUAAAGUUAAAUUUAAAUUUUAAAUUUAAAUUAAAUUUUAUUCUAAAAUUUCAAAUUUUAAAUUUUAUCUUAAAGAUCAAAUUUUAAAAUUUAAGAUAUAAAAUUUAAAAUUUAGAUUUUAAAUUUAAAUUUUAAAUUUAAAUUAAAUUUUAUUCUAAAAUUUCAAAUUUUAAAUUUUAUCUUAAAGAUCAAAUUUUAAAAUUUAAGAUAUAAAAUUUAAAAUUUAGAUUUUAAAUUUAAAUUUUAAAUUUAAUAUCUAAAUUUUUAAUUUUAUAUUUUGAAUUUAUAAAUUUAAAAUUUAGAAUUUUGAAAUUUAAAAUUCAAAUAUAAAUUUAAAAUGUAACAUUAAAAUUUGAAUUUAAAUUUAAAAAUUUAAAUCUAAAAUUGAAAUAAAAAUUUAAUGUUUGAAUUCAAAAUCAGAAUCAGAUUAAAAAACAUGUUUUAACUAUAUUUGAUUUUGGGCCUCGAAAAUUAAAAAAACUGAUUUUAAAAAUUAGAAUCAGAUUUGGAAACGAGUUUGUCAAAUGCUCUAUUGAGCCAAGAAUUAUUUUUUGAUCCAAAAUCACCUUUUAGAAGUUUUGACCGUUUGGUUUGGAGUAAGUGGAAGAGUAAAACUCAAGUUCCAUCACUUUCAGCGUUUGUUUUGGUACAAGCCCAAAAAAGAACGUAACCUAAGUUAUGUUAAUUAGAACUUCAUUUUACCUACUGUCUACUUCUUCCUUUAGAGUGCUGAACUCAAGUUCCACCAUACUCAACCUUCUCUAAAAAAUUAAUUAAAUAUUUAAAACCUAAACGUUACUUUACAAUGAGUUAGAAUUACCUCUUUACAAUGAUUAGGCUUACCUUUAAAUAAUAAUGAAGAAUUUAAUAAUUUAAUAUGUUGGAUUUGUGGGGGUAAGUUUAUUACUAUAUUUAAAAGAUAAUUAGAUUUAUUUACUUACAUCAANAGAAUUUAUUUUGGUUGAAAGUUGUAGAGUGUUUGAUGGAGUUUCGAUGGAAAGAUAUUUCUCUGAAAUGAUUUUGUAAGCUGUUUAGCAAAAAUUUUUGGAUCUUGGUAUAUAAUAAUUUAUUUUUACUAAAUUUUAUUUCUAAACAUUUCAAAUUUAAAUUAAAAUUAAAAUUUUAAUUUCAAUUGAAAUUUUAAAAUUUAAGUUGCACGAAAAUUUGAAUUUUAACAUUAUAAUUUAAAAUAUAUAUUUAAAAUUUAAAAUUUAAAUUUUAAAAUUUAAAUUUAUAAAUCUAAAUUUAAAUUUUUAAUUUCAAAUAUAAAAUCUAAAUUUAAAUUUUGAAAAUUGAAAUUUAACAUCUGAAAAUUUGAAAUUUAAAGUUUGAAUAUUAAAAACUUAAAACUAAAAAUUUAAAAUUUAAAUUUAAAGUUAAAUUUAAAUUUUAAAUUUAAAUUAAAUUUUAUUCUAAAAUUUCAAAUUUUAAAUUUUAUCUUAAAGAUCAAAUUUUAAAAUUUAAGAUAUAAAAUUUAAAAUUUAGAUUUUAAAUUUAAAUUUUAAAUUUAAUAUCUAAAUUUUUAAUUUUAUAUUUUGAAUUUAUAAAUUUAAAAUUUAGAAUUUUGAAAUUUAAAAUUCAAAUAUAAAUUUAAAAUGUAACAUUAAAAUUUGAAUUUAAAUUUAAAAAUUUAAAUCUAAAAUUGAAAUAAAAAUUUAAUGUUUGAAUUCAAAAUCAGAAUCAGAUUAAAAAACAUGUUUUAACUAUAUUUGAUUUUGGGCCUCGAAAAUUAAAAAAACUGAUUUUAAAAAUUAGAAUCAGAUUUGGAAACGAGUUUGUCAAAUGCUCUAUUGAGCCAAGAAUUAUUUUUUGAUCCAAAAUCACCUUUUAGAAGUUUUGACCGUUUGGUUUGGAGUAAGUGGAAGAGUAAAACUCAAGUUCCAUCACUUUCAGCGUUUGUUUUGGUACAAGCCCAAAAAAGAACGUAACCUAAGUUAUGUUAAUUAGAACUUCAUUUUACCUACUGUCUACUUCUUCCUUUAGAGUGCUGAACUCAAGUUCCACCAUACUCAACCUUCUCUAAAAAAUUAAUUAAAUAUUUAAAACCUAAACGUUACUUUACAAUGAGUUAGAAUUACCUCUUUACAAUGAUUAGGCUUACCUUUAAAUAAUAAUGAAGAAUUUAAUAAUUUAAUAUGUUGGAUUUGUGGGGGUAAGUUUAUUACUAUAUUUAAAAGAUAAUUAGAUUUAUUUACUUACAUCAAAUCAAACAAUAGAACUAAAAAAACUAGUUACACUAGUAUCAAGUUACACCAAAACAAACAAAAAAAUUAUUUAAAUUUAAUUUUCAGUAUGUAUGAGUCACAUCAAAAUAAACAACGAAAAAAUAACUAGAGAAAACUUCAAAAACCCCCCCUGUGGUUUCGUGCAUUCUCACUUUGCUACCCUGUGGUUUAAAACGUAUCAAUUUGCCCCCCUAUGGUUUCGUUUUUAUCUUUUUGCUAUCAAUUUUAUUAUUAUUAUUUUUUUAAAUCAGUGACAAAGUUAAAAUUAAAGGAUACUAAAGUGACUAUUCGAUAAAUAUAGAUGAUUAUCUGAAGUUUUUUGUAUAUAAUUUAACGAAAUAUUAACGAAAAAGCUUCCGAAAAGAUAAAAAUGAAACCACAGGGGGGUAAAUUGAUACGUUUUAAACCACGGGGUAGCAAAGUGAGAAUGCACGAAACCACAGGGGGGGUUUUUGAAAUUUUCCCAAAUAACUAUACUUCAAGAAAAUUUCAACACCACUAUAGUUGAGUUACGUUGAAUCUGGUGAUUCAUCAAUCCAAACACCUCCUGAGCAAAACACCCACUUACAUGGAUUACAAGCUAGAUCAAAACUCUCUGAUGCUUAGAUCAAAACUCUCUGACGCUUAAUUGGAUGGUGUUGGGAGCCGAAUUUCCCGACCCUAGACCCGAUCAAAGAUCCUCCUCGGGAAGCGCGUCGGGGUGAGGAACGGCUGCGGAUAGUGACCCUCGAAGUUUGCACCCUUCGACAGAUCAAGCGAUUCGGCUGACGAGAGAUCGGAUCAGCCGAGUUCGAAAACCUUUACCGUAGAAUCGGUUCGGCUGGAUGAGCUGAAUGUAUGAACUGUGCAGGAAUCAAUGUCGGCAGAAGAGCCGAUUAGAAGAAGUACACAGUAACUGAUCGGCUGAAAGAGCCGAAUAAAUGAAAUACACAAUAACUGGUCGGCUGAAAGAGCCGAAUAUAUAUAUAUAUAUAUAUAUAUAUUAAUUAAUUAAACAAAGUGUGCCCAAAGGGCAUACAGAUUCUGCAAAUAUAGUUUGCAACAGAGUGAUGCCCAUGGGGCAGACAGACUCUGCAAAUGUAGUCUACAACGGAGUGAUGCCCGUGGGGCAGACAAACUCUAGGGUUCUACUUAGCGAACUACUCCUAGAAAAGCAGUAAAUGUGGAAAAGAAAAAGAUUACAUUUAGACUACUCCUAUAAAAGCGAUAAAAUGUAGAGAAAAUAAAAGUGGUCUUUUGUUCACAGGGGAAAAUACAUUUAUUACAGGCUUUGAAGUUACUAUUUAUAGUGAUGUCUUCUCGGCCCACAUUAUUGGUCGGUUGAAAGUAGUGGGGGGAGUGGUUGUAACCAUAAUCGUGGAAGUUACGCCGACUCCUCAUGAAAGUUACGCUCUAUCAUGGAAGUUAUGCCCACUUUUCAAACGUUCCUGCCUAAAACCUUCAUGCGCCUUAUUGCCGACUCCUGAUAUACCACGUGUCCUUAUUUGCUCAUACGUGGUUAAUUUCAAUUUUGGCAUCAACAGAUGGAUAUGCUACUUGCUCUCUUGAUGAUUGUAGGUUGUCAAGAUUAUUCUUGAAUUAUUAUUUCUAUUGACUCAAGUUUUUGAAGCUUAAGUUUUGUCAUUUUAAAGAACUUUAAAUUUAAUAUCUUUUGCAUGUUUACCCAUUAACAAAAUAUAAUAUGAACAAAUAUUUUAGAACUUUGUUCGAUAUGAAUUCAAUUAAGCCCAACAUUAAAUGUCAUAAAUGAACAACUAUGUAUGGGGCCAUACCAUAUAAUUGACUCGUGUUACAAAUAUAAAACUGGUAGGUGAAAAGGGCAAAAUAUCUACUGUUAAAAAGAAUGGUUAAUUCCACACCAGGACAAAGAAGCGAGCAGUACUGGACACUGCAUACAGUUUCUGUUGCCAUUUCGGUGAGAAUAAUUUGGAUACUGUUCAGCAUAAAAUUAUAGACUUACAUAAGGAAUUAAUUGAAGAGGAUCAAAAGCAAAAUGUUUUAAAGCAAAGUAUUUAGUAACUUAAUAAUCUAAUUAGUGAAAAAAAAGUUGAAUGAGGAAAUAAGUUGUGAACGAGUAGGAUUCCCUAGGCAGCAUUUGGUUCGAGAACAGAGGAAAAAUAACCUUUUGUUCCCGAUUUAUUUCUAAACGUAAAUUUUAUACUCAAGAACAGUAAUUUUCAGAUCUCUACAAUAAGCUAGUAUAAUUCGAUAUAAGUCUAUAAUUGUUGUUCCUGUUAAAGAUAUGCCUUUUUUUUUAUUAGUUUGAUUUAUACACCCGAUUUAUGGAAAAAUAAAAAGGAUCUCAUGAGGAUUUAUUUUGAUGGAUUCUAAUUUAUAUUGGAAUCCUAAGUGGACUAGAAUUGGUUUUCAUAUGAGACUAUAUUCAAUUAUCAUAUCGAAUUAGAGUAGGAUUGAACUAAUACAUCCAUGUAUAAAUAUGCAUUGGAACGUACAGUGUAGAGCUGUGUGGUGGCCAAAAUUAAUUAGAGACGCUAAUUAAUUAAAGGUGGCCGGCUCUACUGGAGAGAUGUACGGUUUCGCGGGUGCAUGGUGUAGAGGCCAAAUUAAUUAGCAUUCGGUAACUAGCUAAUUAAUUAAGGUGCCCGUCCGUACGGUAGCAAGAGAAGGAGGUUGCUCGCAUGCGACGGAUUGAGGUUGGCGGCGGAGCGGCGGUUCUCGACUAAUUGUCUGAGCGGUUCGCAUUCUUCAAAACAACGGCAUAAAGGAAUUUGAUUAGAGUUUCUAUACUUCUCUAAUUUGGUCUUCUCGGUUUUACGAAAAACUUUUUCGGUAUUUUCUUGGAGUUUUCGUUGGAACAAGAGAAAUGUGGGAUUCACCAUAAGGCUCUUGGUUUUUUAUCCGGAGAAGACAUAAGGUAUAAGCUUAUACUUCUAUUUUUUCAUAUAGUGGAAUACAUCUUUCUCACUCUUCCCGUGGAUGUAGGCAAUUGCCAAACCACGUAAAUCUUAGUUUCUUUUUUCUGCAUUUAUUUUUUCUUUUACCGUUCGUUUGAUGUUUUCUCUAUUUUCGUGCAUCUUUGUUGGUAGCGCAUGACGGACGAUCCAUCCGAUUCCCAACAAGUGGUAUCAGAGAUUAAGAUUCGCGCUACAUCAGAGAUGUCGAAGGUCUCGUCUUCUAAGUUUGAGGUGGAGAAAUUUGACGGUAAAGAAAACUUCGGUCUUUGGCAGAGAAGAGUGAAAGCCUUUCUGGUUCAACAGGGUCUUCAUAAGGCGUUGCUCGAAAAAUCGAAAAAGCCGACAUCGAUAAGCGACGAAGAUUGGGAGGAUAUUGAUCUGUGGGCGGUGAAUACAAUUAUAUUGUGUCUAACAGAUGAGGUGAUGUAUAACGUCAUGGACGAAAAACUACAGUCGGCAUGUGGAACAAACUAGAGAAGCUGUACAUCACAAAAAGCCUCUCAAACGUGCUGUACCUAAAGCAAAAAUUAUAUGGGCUACGCAUGAAGGAAGGUACGACAAUAACGAAACACUUGAACACCUUUAAUAAAAUUAUUGCAGAUUUGCUCAGCAUUAAUGUCAAGAUUAACGAGGAUGAUAAGGCGUUGAUUUUUCUUACAUCACUUCCGUCGUCCUACAAUCACUUGGUGACCACCGUACUGUACGGAAAGCAAACUCUAAAGAUGGAAAAUGUUACAUCGAUACUUUUAUCUAAAGAGAUUAGCUUGCAGGCGAGCACCGAAAAAAGCAGUGUAGGUUUGGUCGUAAAUGAUACAGGUGGAGGAAGGGGACGAUUAAGCGAACGUGGUGAAGGUAAAGGAAGAUCCCGUUCCAAGUCAAAAUCAAUAAAGAUGAAGUGUUACUUCUGCAAGAAAGAGGGCCACGUGAAAAGAAACUGCGAGAAGAGGAAGGUUUGGCUGCAAAAACUAGAUUCCUCUGCAGAUACGGCGAGCGUAGCUAGCGACACUAGUCAGGAUGUUUUGACGGUUUCUACAGGUUCAGAAUCUCUCAAUGACUGGAUAUUGGAUUCGGGUUGUUCUUGUCACAUGACUCCGGACAGAUCUUUAUUUGAUACUUAUAAAUCUUGUGAAAGCGGUAGUGUUAUGAUGGGCAAUCGCACUAGCUGCAAGAUGGUCGGUAUCGGAACAGUAAAAAUAAAGAUGUUUGAUGGUGUGGUGAGAACGUUGACGAAUGUGAGACACAUUCCGGUUCUUAGAUUGAAUUUGAUAUCGCUUCGUACUCUUGACUCUAUUGGCUGUUCUAUUAGCAUUUCAGGUGGAGUCGUCAAGGUGAAAAAGAGUGCUAUGGUAGUCAUGAAGGGAGAGAAGGAGGGGAAUCUGUACAAGCUGAUCGGUAAGCCGGUAACAGCGGAGAAGUCUAGGCAUUCUUUAGACUUCGCUAACCUGCAUGACUGUUAAUGUCAAGAUGCCUCAGGGAAAGGGAGUGAUAAGAUGAGAGAGAAUAAUGAAAUAAAAAAAAAGUCAAUGUGGAGAAUGUUAAAGAUAUGCUUUCUUUUUUAUUGGUUUGGUUCAUACAUCGGGUUUAUGAAAAAAUAAAAAGGAUCUCAUGAGGGUUUAUUUUGGUGGAUUCUAAUUUAUAUUGGAAUCCUAAGUGGACUAGGAUUGGUUUCCAUAUAAGACUCUAUAUUCAAUUAUCAUAUCGAAUUAGAGUAGGAUUGAACUAAUGCAUCCAUGUAUAAAUAUGCAUUGGAACGUACGGUGUAGAGCCGUGUGGUGGCCAAAAUUAAUUAGAGACGCUAAUUAAUUAAAGGUGGCCGGCUCUAAUAGAGGGAUGUACGGCGUCGUGGGUGCAUGGUGUGGAGGCCAAAUUAAUUAGCAUUCGGUGCCUAGCUAAUUAAUUAAGGUGCCCGUCCGUACGGUAGCAAGAGAAGGGAGGUUGCUCGCAUGCGACGGAUUGAGGUCGGCGGCGGAGCGGCGGUUCUCGACCAAUUACCUGAGCGGUUCAGAUUCUUCGAAGCAACGGCAUAAAGAAAUUUGGUUAGAGUUUCUAUACUUCUCUAAUUUGGUCUUCUCGGUUUUACGAAAAGCUUUUUCGGUAUUUACUUGGAGUUUUCGUUGGAACAAGAGAAAUGUGGGAUUUACUAUAAGGCUCUUGAUUUUUUAUCCGGAGAAGACAUAAGGUGUAAGCUUGUACUUCUAAUUUUUCAUAUAGUAGAAUACAUCUCUCUCGCUCUUCCCGUGGACGUAGGCAAUUGCCGAACGACGUAAAUCUUAGUUUCUUUUUUCUGCAUUUAUUUUUUCUUUUACCGUUCGCUCGGUGUUUUCUCUAUUUUUCGUGCAUCUUUGUUGGUAGCGCAUGACAGACGAUCCAUCCGGUUCCCAACAGUUCCACCAUGUUUCUGGAAUAAGUUUGUUGCCAAGUAAGGGUGGAACUGGGCUGGGCUUGGGUCGGGUAAUACUAUACCGAAGCCCGGCCCAAAAAAAUAUGUUGGGCUUCGGGUCAGGCUUUUACCCAAUUUUUUUUGAAAAUUAAGGCCCGGCCCAAGCCCAAGUCCAAUACCCAAUACCUAUCGGGCUUUGUGAAGGCCCAUUUUAUAUAUUUAUCAUGUAAUAAUAAAUACUUUUAUUUGUAUAAAAUUAAAAUAAAAUAUCUAUUUUUACUGAGAUUUGAUCACAACAAAGAAAUUAAAAUCUAACAUCAAAUAUAAUACCAUUAAUAUCUACCAAUAAUUAUCCAUCAAUAAAAUAAGACUAAACAAAGAAAAUUAAUAAACUAAAAUUAAGACUUAGACUCCGAUACUAGCGAUCAAAGUAAAUUAUAAGAUAGAAACUUUUCAUAUAAAAGUAGAACAGUUAAUUAAUUAGGACAUAUAUAAUUUUUUAAAGAAGUAUUGUAGUAUUUUAAAAUUAUCCUUAAGUUAUGUAUAUAGAACGUCUAAUAAAUUUUUUAAAAAAUUUUAAAAUACUAUAUAUUUAGUAAGUGUUAUGUGCAUAACUAAUUAGUUAUAUAUAAUAAUAUGUACCAUAUAUUUACUUACUUAGAAAUAUGUAUAAUUAAUUAAUUAUAUAUAAUAAUACUAUUUAAUAUAUACUAAUAUGGAAUUAAAUAUUUUGUUAAUAUAUAAUAUAUUCUCAUAUAUAUAUAUAUAUAUAUAAUUAAAUACUUUAUUUUAAUAAUUAAUAUAUUGAGCUUUUGGGUCGGGCUCGGGCCGGACUUGGACAUGCCCAAAUAGGCCCAAAAAUUUUUCGGGCCUAAAUUUUAAUGCCCGGCCGGAAUUCAAAGUCUAGUUUUUAAUGUCCAAAGCCUGGCCCAAACAUGGCCCAUCGGGCCGGGCCUUGUAUAGGCCCGGGCCCAGUUCCACCCCUAUUUCCAAGUGAAAAUAAGAUUAAUUAAAAUCUAAAUUUAAUUUUUAUUAUGAUAUUAAAUUAUUAAUUAAUCUAGUUAAUAUAUUUAAAUCAUUAUCCAUUGCUUAAAUAAUAAAAUAAUUAAUUUAUUUAUUACUUAUAAUUAAUUAGCUAAUUAAUUAUUAAUAAUUUAAUAUGUUUAUUUUUAAACUAAUAUUUAUAUUAAUCAAUCAUUAAUAUUUUUUAUUAAUCUAAUUAUUUUUUUACUAGUUAUCUAACUAAAAUAAUUUACUAACUAAUUAAAAGGUUAAAUUAAUUUUUUUAUAUUUAAUUAAUUAAUUAAUAUAAAUUUAUUAUCUUACACAAUAUUCGUAGUUAAUAAAUUUAUUAAUUUAUUAAAUUAUUUUUAAUUAAUAUUUUCAUAUUAAUUAAUUAGAUAAAAUAUUUUUAAUUUAAAAUUUAACUCUUAUUCUUCAUAUUCCAAUUUAACUACUCAAACACUCUUUACCUUAUUUUAAGAAACAACUUAAUUUUAUUAUAAACGCAAAACUAGUCUAAUUCAUGCGUAUACCUGAACUUGUAAUGAUUUUUGAAAAAAGUAGUUCUUAUUUAUACUCAAAUUAAAUGCAGCUUAAGUUACUGAACCAAUGUUAAAACAACUAAUAAAUAGAAUGUUAUGUUUUCUUAUAUAACUAAAUUAAUAUACUAUAUAAAUUAAUAUACUUCAGGUAAUAAUCACUGCUCGGAAUGACUACUAGUUAUUCGGGACAAAGGACUAUCCAAAAGAUAGGAGGUUACGUUCCUUGUGUGUUUCAGAAAUUAAACAAAAAUAAUUCGAGCUCUUAGCAUGUUGAGUUUAUAGUAUUUGUUUUGGAGAGUUUCUUAGCAUAUAAAAAAUUUUGGACAUGUGAAAAAACAAAAAAAAUCAAUUGUGUAUUAUUUGGACGAAAGUCUUAGUCCCGUGAACCUUCUUUUGUUUUGUUUUUGAGUUGGUCUAAGCUCGGACAAAGACAUGAUAAGCCGUGUUCAUACCAGAGUGAUUAAGUGUCAUGCCCCCGCCCCGAGUCCGCUACCGAUUUGGUCCGGUUCGGGCGCGCUGAACGGACAGCAAUUCCCCUAUCCGCCCAAGACUAAAACGACGAGAUCAUGUAUACAAGUUCCCAGAAAAUACACUUAAUUACAUACAUGAUCUAACAAUGACGACGAAGCACAAACAGUACUGUUUAUCAACCAAGAGCAAGCAAUACAAGUAAAGCAUACGAGUGAUAAAAGAGAGGUGUAUUUAACUAUUAAACUCAUUUAACUUUAUACAAUUAUUUCAUCUUUUAUAUUCUUCCAGAACAUAUGUACAAUCACUCUCAAAACCUCAUCCUAUACAACAUCUACUCUCAAUAUAAGUGCAGGGUAGAGCUAAUGCAAAAGAAAGUAAAGCUAGCUAUGUACAUAUACCACUAGGGCGCUAUGCCCUUGCCACGAUCCUCGCGCUCGCAGGGACACUCGAACUCGGACCUGCAACAAAGUGGGAUGAGAACUACGAAUAGUUCCCAGUGGGUUUGGCAGCCGACUCCGCCGAUCUUCCCACUAAGGUCUAAGCAGGCAUAAGUAGAUAUGCAGAUAGAUAGGUAUAUAAACUUGAGAGCGAUAACAAUUAAGAGCUAGCAUUAAAUAGGAAUGUGAGUACUCUACCAUGCCUCAAUCUGAUAUCAUGCAUGCAUGUAAUUCAUAAGGAAUUUGUAGCUACCAUACUACUAUGCUCAACAAUAAAGGUUAUUUAUUACUUUACCCAAUCAUUUGAUCAAUCCUGUAACUCAAUCUCACGUUUAUAAGUCUCAUAGGGAAAAGCCUCGCUGAACUAUUCCCCGAGACCGCCUGCGGACAGAUUCACUGACUGUCCAGGCAGCGCAUAGCGACUGCCCCUCGAGUGACAAAUACUCCGGAGUGCACAGCCUGUGGGGAGCGACCCCUACAAGCGCAUACAGGCUAUGUGAGCUUAAUCUGAACUCAUGAACAGGUCCUACCAACUAAGGUUGGUCUCAUCAUAGAAUCAAGCAUUCCAAUACCCAAGCUCAUAGUGUUUUGACUACACUAGGGUUCUCAUGUUCAAAGUCAACUAGAUGCCACUUGUUCAUGUUUGUUGUUAACUAGAUACCACUCGUUCUUUGACAAGUUCUCAAUACUCUAGUCCACACUGUACUAGGUUUUCAUAGCUACAUUCAACACAUAUAGGGUUACACUGUAUCAUACUACCUCGAGCACACUAGGUUCUAAUGCUAUAUCAACUAAGCCACAUUAACGCUAGCAUGCAAUUAUAGAUAUUAUUAACUUAGUUCCCUAUAUGCCACAUAUUCAAUAUGCAAUUGAUCAACAUAAUAACUCAGACAUAAGGAGCAGUUCAACUGCUUCGGGAUGGCACUCCCCCACCUCUUGGUAGUGCCGCGUAGCUAGGAAACUCGACGUCGCGAUCCUCGUACGUCGCUUCAACUCCUCGGGGCAAAGCGAACCCUCAAGUACUCGUUUCGGCGAUAUCUUCGCACUCGCUCGUCGGAUCGACGAACCGUAUUCGCCUACGCGUUCGAAGACUUAGCAAUUAGAUUAACGACCUAUUAAACGAGAUCAAAACCCUAGAUUUCUAAAGAUCCCAAAUCCGUGCUCUAGGUUGGCAACGGUGAGGAAAUCCGUGGUGCGAGCUUCAAAUGCUAGCUCGAACCAUCACCUUAGCUUCAAUAGGUUCCAUUCAAACCAUUUCUAAGCAACAAAACCCUAGUUCACCAAAAUCCACCAUUAAAGGGUUUGAGGUUUACCUCAAUACCAAGCUCCAAGCUUGAGAGAGGGAGAGAAGAAGAUGACUUCUUCUUCUUCCUAGUCUUCUCCUUCCUCUUUCUCUUCUUCUCCUUCCUCUUCUUCCUCUCCUUCUUCUUCUCCUUCUUUUCUUUCUAGAGAGAGAGAGGGAAAGAGUAUGAGAGGGAAAGAGACAAAUGAGAGGAAUGGGAGAGAAGAGUGGUCCCCAAGCCUCUCAUAUAAGCCACUUUGCAAUUAGCCCCCUCAACUUUCCAUCCUCUGCAGCAGCCCUCACUGGGCAUUUUCGCAGCGAGGGACCGGUCCCAGCUCGGGGAGACCAGGGACGGGGAGACUGGUCCCCGAGAGCCUCCCAUUCGAGAACCGGUCCCUGCCUGAGAGAUCGGUCCCCGGGAGACCGGUCUUUGUCCGAGAGACAGGUUCCCGAGAAUUGGAUUUUCGUGACUUAGCCAAAUUUCGGCUUUUCUCACUGGGUUAACGUUCGGGGACCGGUCCUCCCCUGCCAGGGACCGGUUGCAUCAAGGAUCCCCGCCAGCCCAGCCUGAUGGGGACCGGUCCCCGAGAGCAAUUUUGCUCCAGUGCAAAUUUUGCACUGCUGCUCUCGCGAACUCUCCUUAAUGCACUUCAUGCAUUUUAACCACCUCCGGAAAGCUCGACAAUUAGUCUAGAUUCUAGACGAAGUCUAAUUCUCGGAUUUCGAGAAUUCACUUACUUACAUUAAGCUUAUUUUAUUUAGAAAUAAAUUUAGCUGGAAAUGUGAAUCAACUAGAAUUCAAAUUUUGGACCUUGGGUAUCAAUUACCAAGCUUUUCGCCACUUGCUCUAGAGACGGUACGUAAUUGCACACUUUUUUAAACCCGGUGUAUAGGACCGCGCGCGCCGUCGCCCGCCUAGCUCGUACUCGUACCGUGCGUGUAUUUAAACGAGAGUAUAACUUUCAUUUUCUUCCAAACAACUUGCUUGAGAAUAAAAAAAUAUUUAUACACCAUCAAACUCUUUUAAUUUUCAAUGUGGGACUAAAUCUUACACAUGAAAAUUUUAGUUGGGUUCCCAAGUAAGGCCCAUUAAUAAUUAUUGGGCUCCCAAGAGCCUUAACAAGUUUUAAAUCACAAAAAUCCAAUAAAAUCCAAUAAAAACAACUAAUAAAUAAAAUUUAAUGUUUUCUUAUAUAACUAAAUUAAUAUACUAUACAAAUUAAUAUACUUCACGUAAUAAUCACUGCUCGGAAUGGCUAGUAGUUAUUCGUGACAGAGGACUAUCAAAAAGUUAAGAGGUUACGAUCCUUGUGUGUUUCAGAAAACAAAAAUAAUUCAAGCUCUUGGCUUGUUGAAUUUAUAGUGUUUGUUUUUGUGAAACAAUCGUUAUAUUUUAAAAACUUAAACGGUUAGAAAAUGUUAUUUAAAUAUUUUUAUAUUUAACACUUUUUUUCAUAUAUGUGCUCGAGACUUUUUAAUUGGUCCAUAACGUUGGCUUAAAUUAAAUAGGAGGAAAUUAACAUAUUAGGCGCUUGGCGUGACUCGAACUCAGGACCUUCUGCUCUGAUAUCAUGUGAAACAAGUCCUGCUAUGAUAUCAUGUGAAACAACCGUUGUACUUAAAAAACUUAAGAUGUUAAAGAACAGUGUUUAAACAUUUUUAUAUUUAACACUCUCCAUCACGUCACGUCUGGACUCAAAACUUUUUGCAAGGAUCUUCUAUUGUAAUACUAUGUAAAGCAAUCGUUGUACUCUAAAAGCUAAAGCUAUUAGAGAACCCCCUCACGUCUGGACUCGAGACUUUUUUUUUUAAGUCGGCCCAUGACGUGAGUUUGAAUUAAAUGGGAGAAAAUUAAUAUACUAGGAGCCUGGCGUUACUCGAACUCAGGAUCUCCUGCUCUGAUGUUAUGUGAAACAAUCGUUGUAUUCUAAAAUCUUAAGCUGUUAAAAAAAACGAUGUUUAAAUAUUUUUAUAUUUAACCGUUUUGAAGAGUUUCUUAACAUAUAAAAAAUGUUGGACAUGUGAAAAAAAAAAAAAAAAAAAUUGUGUAUUAUUUGGACGAAAGUCCCGUGAAGCUUCUUUUGUUUUAUUUUUGAGUUGGUCUAAGCUCAGGACAAAGACAUGAUAAGCCGUGUUCAUACCAGGGUGAUUAAGCUCAGGACAAAGACUUGAUAAGUCGUCUUGAACCGACUUAAUCACUCUGGACCACUUAAUUAAUUGCACAUUUUUUUAAACAUCAAAAAAUCCAGUAAAACGACAACAUGUAUCGUAUGUAUGUAUAUGGAUAUGUGACUCAGACCACUUAAUUCAUAGGAGAAACCCAACCCAUAUUCCCAAUUAAGAAAAGGUCAAGGUAAACGGAAAAAAAAUAAUAAAAAUAAAAAAUAAAAAUAUCCCACUCUCGAUCUAGUGCGCGCAAAGUUUCUCUCAGUUUCCACUGUACUCGUCUCGCUAGCUAUUUAAGAUGGCGGCCAGUGCCAUGCUCAUUCCAUUUCCCUCCGCUCGCGCGCGCGCUCUCUCUCUCUCUCUCUCCAGUUGCUUUCGUAGCAUUAAUUAAAAAGCCCUGUCUAUCUAAGAAAACACAUACAUAAUAACAAAUGGUUACUUGGAUCACCCACCACUUGGUCCUGCAGCCUUAGCAACAGGGCGCGCUUCUUGAUCCCUCCCGCUUGACAUGUUGAAUGAUCAACAACGGCCUGACGGCACCGGAGAGGAGCAUGAUCCGCCGCACGAAGAAGCGGAAUUCCGCGACAUCCACCCGCUGACUCCGCGACCACCACCGUCGGUCCGAUCAUCGGGCGGGAGGCGCGGGGAGUACUCGAGCCACCACCGGUCGCCGGCGGCGCUCUCGGUGGGGAGCGACGCCGCCCUGAGCGAGCAGCUGACGACGAUGAGCAGGGAGUUCAGCGCGAUGCUCGUCGCGGGCUCCGCCUUGCAGCUGGGUGACGCCGCCAGCAACGUCGACAACGACACCACCCUCGCCAGGAUCGGCGAGGAGGACCGCCUCGAGGAGACGAACCCGCUCGCCAUCGUCCCCGACACCAACCCCAUCCCGUCCCCGCCUCCCGAGGCGGUGGCCGCGCUGGAGGAGGUCUCCGUGGCGCAGGUCAAGAAGGAGGAGGUCGAGUCCAAGAUAUCGGCCUGGCAGACCGCCGAGGUCGCCAAACUCAACAACAGGUUCAAACGCGAAGAGGUCGAGAUCAACGGCUGGGAGAGCCACCAUGUCGAGAAGGCCACGGCCUGGCUAAAGAAAAUAGAGGUACCGUACCGUACCGUACCCUGCCUUUCUUUAUUAUAUAAGACGUGUCCUGUCUAAUUUCGAUCUUGAAUUUUCCGUACGCUAUCUGUCUAUCUAUCUAUCUAUCUAUCUAUUAUUAUCGUGGGAAUGUGUUUAUGAGAUUAAUUUCUAAUUUUUCUUUUUUCAAUUGGGGAUUGCAGAGGAAGUCGGAGGAACAGAGGGCGAGGGCGAUCGAGAAGGCGCAGAACGACGUGGUGCGGGCGCGGCGCAAGGCCGAAGAGAAGAGGGCAUCGGCGGAGGCGAAGAGGGGGACCAAGGCGGCGAGGGUUCUGGAGCUCGCCAAUUUCAUGAGGGCCGUGCGUAGAGCGCCAUCAAAGCGCUCCUUUUACUAAGUAAUUAAUUAUUAUUGGUUUAUAUUUAAUUAAUUUGCUUGCUUGAAUCAAUUGUCUCUGCUUUUAAUUUCUCAUCACGCGGAGAGCUUUUUAAAUUCCAAUUGUAUCAUCGUUGUUGUUGGAAUUACUAUGCGGUGGAUCAACUUAGCAGGGGAGGUGUUGUAAUUAUUAUUAAAUUAAGAAGAAGGAAAAGUCGCAGAAACAGGGAACAGUUUUUAAGGUUUCUGAAGGCUCUCUGUUGAAGGCUCUGUGUUGUAAAGGCGUGUAUGUUUGAAGAAAUUAUGAGAGAUUAGUAUUUUAGUGCUUUUUUUUUUUAUUUGUCUUUAGUAAAUGACCACUGAUAUUAAUUAGUUAAGAAAAAACAAAAAAAACAAAAAUUAAGGGACACUUUGCAAAAGACUGUAUCAAAGGAGAUUAGAUACAGUUCAUUGAUCAUUUUUAUUCAAUGCACACUCAUAUUUACUUUCUUAUAGAGAAUGAAGCAUAGUUUAAUCUGAUGGCUUGGAUUGACAAAAAAAAGAAGAAGAAGAUAAUAUCAAAUUCUUCUUAUAAAUCUGAAUGAUAACCCCAUAGAAUUUUGCUCAGCUACUGCCUCCGCGAAUUUAAUAACGGAGAGAGUCCAGGAUGUUUUGCUUUUGCGCCUCUCGCACCGCAAACGAGCCCUCUGUAGCAAUUAUAAUUAUUUUUUGUGCGAAGCUUGUAAAUAGCCCGUUGUUCUUCAUCGACCUAAUUGAUUGCUGCCGUUCAAAUGUUGGUGAAAUACAGAAUGGAUUUCGGGGGCGCCUGCUAGUCCAAAAGGCACCCUGGGGAACACUGCAUUUAAUACCCAAAGAAACGGUGACCGUCCUAAUGGUGGGCUGAAUUAAUUAUGACAUGAGGCUUGCUCCCGGAAGACCUAAUCCAAAACUACGGUGCGACCCCCGCUAGCUUUCCUUUAAAUACAAUAUUCAAAUGUAAUUUAAAUAUUUCUUUAUUUAGGAAUAGGUUUAUUUAUGGCAAUAUCAUUACGUUAAAUUACCGCGUGAUUUGAGCAUGUGGGCUCAAAAUAAUGUAAUUCUUGACAAUAAAAGAUUAAUAAUCAGAAUUUUCUCUUUUUCUGUCUUAGCCAUCCUUUUCUCUCUACUUUUCUACUCUCGACAGGUCCAAUUAUCUCAAAGUGACUUACUAUUUCUUUUGAUAGAGCAAAGCCAUGUUAUUAGGUAUCAAAGUCUUGUAUGGUCUUGACUUGAGCAAGAAAUAAAAUAUCUUGAGAAAGAUGAACAGAGAAUUCGUAAAAAAAAACAAUAUGAAGGUAUAAUUUUUCAUUGUCGAUGUUUGAUUCAACAAAUUAGAGAUUGAAGUAACAUUCAUUAGCGAUUUUGUUAAUGAUCUUAAGAAUUUAAUCAUCGUUAUGAACGUAAAGAUGGAUGUGUGACCACACGUACUGUCCGAAGAUACAUCCGUCUCGAGUUCCAACAAAAAAUAGACCUUUACUUCCAAAUCCCUUAAAGGAAGAGGACUAGUUCCUUUUACAGAAAAUUCUGUGGUGAUGUGCCUGGAGUUUUCUUGAUUUGAUAGAGAGGAUCCAACGACAAAGGUGUACUUAGGGCCUGUUUGUUUCGACGGAAGUGGGGUGGAAGUGGGACGGGGAAAGUGAUUUUCGGUGAAAACUAACCACUUCCGCUGUUUGGUUCACCGUAAGUUUAUUACGCCCGAAAGUUCAGUUCACCCAAAAUAAGGAACUUGACUUCGCCCUCCCAUGGGGCGAAGUCAAUUUCGGUGAAGUGAAAAAAAGGCAAGAAUGGAUUAAUGUGUUAGGGUUACCUCUUCAUUUCAUCCAAAUAUAUUCAAUUGUGAAAAUAAUUAAAUUUUUUAUUUUGAUUGUAUGUCUAAAAUAUGAUCAAAUUUGAUUAGGUAAGUUUUAAUAUAUUUUUGUUUAAUUUGUAUAUUUAGAAAAUGAUGAAAAAUAAAUUUGUUAAAUGUUAAUAAUUUUUUAACUUUAGAAUUUUAUUUGUUGCAUUAUUAUAAUUUAUAUGCAAACAAAUAAUAUAAUUUUUUAAAAUUUUAUUUUAUAAUUAUACAUAUAUAUAAUUAUAUACAUAUAUAAUUAUAUUAAUUUUUAUUUAUUAUAAUUUAUUAUUCACUAUAAGUUAUAAAAUAGACAAUAAUAUCACUUUGGAGGCAAGUAUACCGGGGGUGGAGAGCUACACUUUUUACGUCAUUUACUUCCUACCAAACAAACAACAGAAUUCGCAGAACUACACUUCCACAGUUAGAAACAAACAGCAGAAGUGAAUUAAUUUUCACCCCAACUCCACUUCAACCCAAAGUCCACUUCCACCCCAAGUCUACUUACGUUGAAACAAACAUGCCUUUAGCAGAGCAAGUUUUUAAAUUUAACCAAACACUAGAUGCCCAAAGAGUCCCGUUUGCAUCCUACCAUAUGGAAAAGAAAGUAUUAUAUUGAAUCAUGCGAUGUUGAAUUUCUCGAGGAGGGCUUUCCUUAUAGAUGUGAGGUUCGAAAUAAAAUUGAAUUUUAUGAGAUAGAUGACUCUGGUAUUGGCGGUUCUAUACGUUCAGUUAAGGUACAUGAGGCAACUCCAAUAUUUUAUGGGGAUAGUGGGAAGUUCCAAUGCACCAUAGUUUUUGAUUCCUGUUGAAACUAGUCUUUCUUUUGUUUGUAAUAUAAAAUUUCUUUUGCCAUUUUGAGCAUCGAAAAAAAUCCAUGUGAGUCUUUUGAGUUUGUCUCUGACUCGGUGGAUCCAUCGUAGGUCCGGUUGACUUCUUGCGCAUCUAAGGUUCGUACGCAACUUUGACGGGUGGUCUUUAAUUUGUCACGCCUCGAGAUCCUUUUUAGUUUAUAAAACAGCGAAAAUGUCCAAUACUUUUUUUUUUUUGAAAACCAUGACCCAAGGGAUGACAGACCUGCCACAAAUACAGGAGAUCCACUGUUCACAUGGACAGAGUGUAAUGUACUGGAUUUUAAUAUAAAAGUAAGUAUAAAUAAAAAUAGUGUAAGAUACUAUUUUUAUUGGACUUAAAGAAGUGAAAUAUAAGUUGAAAAUGAUUUGUGCUGAAAUUGGAAUGGAAACAAAAGAUUUAGAAUUUUCUGUAAGAAACGGGGCUGAUCUUUUAGUAGAAAAUUCAGUGUCAGAAAAUUGUGAAAAUUUGAGAAUAUGUCGGAAUUAUUUUUAUGAAGCUAGAUUUAAAGUUUCAUGUCAUUCCGACACCCGAAAAGUGAAAAAUAAAAUCUGACAGCUAUUUACUAGAGAUUUUAGUCGGUAGAGCUUUCGGUGACAAAAAAUGGUUCAAACUGAGAAGUUAAGAUUUCGUUAUUCUUGUUAAUUUAAACCGAACCUGACUCUCAAAUUUGAUCGCAAACAGACAUUUAAAAAGGUUCCGGCGAAAAGUAUCAAAUUCUGAACUGCUAAAUUAAAAAUUGUAGAGUGUGUUGGGAGGGCCUGUAUGAAACCCACACCAUCUCUCUCUCUCCCUGGUUCUCUCCCAAAACGUGAGAGGAGUGGAGGGCUCUCUUUUCCUUCUAUACAUAAGAGCUUCUUUCUCUUUCUCUUAAACCCUCUCCCCUAGCUCUCUCUCUCUAGCAAUUUUCCCAUUAAAGUGAAGAAGUUGGAGGAGAUUAAGUUGGAGAAGAAGCUUGGUGGUGAAGCAAGCUAUCCAAUGGUGGAUCAAGCUUCUUUCCCAAGGUGGCCAUAGUGAGUUUUGUGAUUCAAGCUAGGGUUUGGAUUAAAUCUCUUGUAAAUGAGAUAUUUAGGACCUCUAGAUGAUUCUAAAUUAGAUUGGUUAAAGUUUAAUCAUCAAAUUUGGAGUAUUCUUAUAGAACUUGAACCCUAGGCUUAGAAAUUGGGGCUCUUGUCUCUAAGAGGUUUUGAACUAAAUUAACCUUGUAAAACCUUAAUUGAAGGAUAAUUCGACACGGAGGAUAACUUCGUUUUGGAUUACGACGAGGUUAUGGCGUCCGAUUGAGAGAUUUGCGGAAUUUGGUUCGUUAAGCUUGGGUCGAGGCGAACCGGACAACGUGUGCCGUGGGAGCCCGAUUGCAAGUGACUACAAUCAAUCGGAUAGCAUUGCGAGGUGGGUUGUGCUUCACCGAAGUGAUUAGGUCACUUCCAUGUCAAAGUGAAGUGGUUUGUCGUUGAUGCAUGUAGCGGUAGUUAAUUACAUAUAAAAGUAACCUCAGGAAAGAAUGGCCAAUGAGCAUAGUGUGACUAAGAAUAAAGAAUAAAGAACAAAGAACGGCUAAUGUUAAGGAAUAGCAAAUAAUAAAAAACAGCAAAUGCUAAAGAAUAACUAAUAAUGUAAAGAAUGAUUAGCGAUAAAGAAUGGCUAAGAGUAAAGAAUGGCUAAGAACAAAGAAUAGAAUUAAUUAAUCUAUUUGUAUGAGUUGCAUGAUUUGCAUAUUGCAUAUUGUAGGUCAUGAACAUGAUAAAUAUUAGUUGUAUAAAUUAUAUAUAUCUGUGGAUAUUUGUUCGACUAACAUGUUUGCAGUGCCUCCUUUGAACCUGAUGGGUCGAGCUUUUCCUUGGGUGGCUGUACCUACUAGGAACUAUGGAUAAUAGUUCUCACCCCCGUGUUGUUUUUGGGGGUUACAGGUUCACACGUAAGCGGCGCGGCGGCGCGAGGUAAGGGCGUAGCUCCGUAGAUAGCGCCCUACCACCGAGACCAGAGAUAGUAGUACCCCGAGUCGACUUAGAUAGGGGUAUAGAAAAGAAAAGAACAAUGUUGUAAUAAAUUGUAGUAACUUGGAUUGUAUUUGGAAGCUAAUUGAGAAUUAAAAAUGUAAUAUGUAAAAUGUAUGUGAGUUGAAUGCUUGUAAAAGCAUAAUAUUUAUGUUUUCAUACCUUCCUUAUGCAAUCUUUAUUGAAUACUGUUCCUGGUUGGAACCUCGCGCAUUGUAUGGAUUGUAGCACCUUGGAUGUACAGGGGAGACUCUGUCCGCGGUACAGAGAAAACCCUGUCCGUUCGGCGGUCUGUUGGUGUUCCCGAAUCCGACCAAAGAGGCGGGCUCGGGGCGUGACAGCCGACCUCAGAUUUCGUACGGUCCGUAUAUUCAGCUCAUUCCAGCCGAACCGAAUCUUUAAUAGAGUUUUCGAACUCGGCUGAUCCGAUCCCUCGUCAGCUGAAUCGCUUGAUCCAGUCGAAGGGCGCAAACUUCGAGAGUCACUAUCCGAAGCCCUUUUUAUCCCUACACACUCCCCAAGGUGGAUCUUUGACUAGGUCAAAGAUAAGGAUGUUCGGCUACCAACACUUACAAACAUAAUUCAUACUAAGUGGUAAAUUAUGGCAUCAUUUCUUUCUUGUUCGUAAUGUUUAUUUUUGUAUAAGCUUUACUGUGAUAAGAAAAUUUGUGUAUUUGUUCUGCUCCGUUGUUAGUAUUCUGGACGCUUGCUAAGUUUCUUUAUUUUUGGGGCUGUUUGGCCUAACUAUUAAAAAGUGAUUUUAUACUCAAAAGUGAUUUUCGGCUCAAUAGAGCAUUUGACAACCUCGUUUUCAAAAUUUGAUUCUGAUUUUCGAUAAUCAGAUUUUCGAAGCCCAAAAUCAGAAACAGCUAAAAUCUGCUUUUUGAAAUCUUAUUCUAAUAUUGGACUUAAACUUCAAAUUUUUAUUUUCAUUUUCAAUUCAAAGUUUAAAUUUAAAUAUAAUUUUAAAUUUAGUUUUUAAAUUUAUUUUUAAAUUUUAAAAUAUAAAAUUUAGAUAUUAAAUUCUAAAAUUUCAAAAUUUAAAUUUAAAUCUUAAAUUUAAAAUUUAAAAUUUAAAAUUUAAAAUUUCAAAUUUCAAAUUUAAAUUUAAGACUAAAUUUAAAUUUUGAAAUUUUAGAAUUUAACAUUUAAUUAAAAAUCUUUAAAAAAUAAAAUUUAAAAUGAUAUGUUUUAAUUUUUGAAAUUUCAAAUUUUUAAAAUUCUAAUUUUUAAUUGUAAAUUUUUAAUUUUUUCUUUUUAAAUUUUAGAUAUUCAAAUUUUAAAUUUAAAAUUUCAAAAUUUUAUAUUUUAUAUUUUAUUUUUCAAAUUUUAAAAUUCAAAUUUCAAAAUUUAAAAUUUAAAUUUAAAUUUUUUUUUAACAUUUUAAAUUUGAAAUUAAAAAUUUAAAUUUAGCUUUAAAAAUUCAAAUUGUAAAUUUUAGAUUUUUAAUUUUCAAAUUUAUUUUUAAAUUAAAAUAUCAAAUUUUAAAUUUUUUAGAAUUUUAAAUUUAAAUUCAAACUUUAAAUUAUUUUAAAAUGAAAUUUAGUAAAAGUAUUAUUAUAUCUAAACAUCAAAUUUUUUUUUUUUUUUUGCCAAACAGUUUUAUAAAAUUAUUUAAAAAAAAUAACUUUUUGUCUAAACUCAGCCAAAUGCGCUACAACCUAUAACAAAAAUCACUUCUACAAAAUAUAGUUAUUUAUAAAAUAAAUAACUAUAUAUUUCACUCUAUUAAAUAAGCAAAUUUUAGAGCAUUUUCCAUCACAAAGGAAUGCGUGUUUACUACAUGUGUUUGAUGGGCUUGUAUUUAUUACAACUAAAACCCUCCAAAAAAUAAAUUUCUAUAAUAAAACAAAAUCAACAUAUGUAAAUCCAUAUUUUUUAAAUUUUUUUAUAUUUAGCAAUCAGUCAAGAGACUACUACUACUACUGAUAAGAACAAAACAAUAUAUUCAAUUACUAUCCAAAGUUUUUAAUUAAACCUGUGAAGAAAAGUUGUCACAGAGAAAUAAACAGAACGCCGUGAAAGCCUCCAAUUAUGCGAAAGCUCCGGAAGAAAAAUAAAAUUAUAUUUAAAUUAUUAUCUAUUAUUUAAAUAAUAAAGUAAUUAAUGAAUUAUUUAUUUAUAAUUAAUUAGCUAAUUAAAAAUUAAUAAUUUAAUGUGUUUAUCCAUAAACUAAUAUUUAUAUGGACCGACCAUUAACAUUUUGACUAAUCUAAUUAAUUUUUUUACUAAUUAUCUAACUAAAAUAAUUUACUAACUAAUUAAAAACUUAAAUUAUUUUUAUAUUUAAUUAGUUAAUUAAUAUAUUUUUAUUAUCUUAUACAAUAUUUAUAGUUAAUAAAUUUAUUAAUUUAUUAAAAUAUUUUUAAUUAUUCAUAGUUAAUAAAUUAAUUAACUUAUUAAAUUAUUUUUAGUUAAUUUUUAAUAUUAAUUAAUUAGAUAAAAUAUUUUUAAUUUAAAAUUAUAACUCUUUGUGGUAUCCCUGGUGUACAGCUGUUGAGGCUUGUCGACAGUUCUGAAGAGUGUUGGGGACAAGUCCGAGUCGUGUUGGCGUGAAAUAGACGCAAAACAGACUCAGCGGGGACGCGAGAGCAGGACUUAGCUUUGAAAAUCUGCAAAUUGCAGAUUUUCUGCUUGUUGUACCGGUACAACCAUCAAGGCGUACCGGUUCACUUUCUGUACUGGUACAACAUCAGGGGUGUACCGGUACACUUCGACAGAUUUUGCGCAGCUGCUCUUGGGUUGCCAUUUGUACCGGUACAUUUGUCCGUGUACCGGUACACCUGAGUAGGUAAGGGGUUUUUUGGUAAUUCCGUGCCUCGUACGUGUCACCACUCUACCCCUUCACUAUUUACAUGUGUAGAGAGGCUGAGAGAGAGUAUUCUACCUGCUUCUUCUCCCCUCUCUCUCUAGCAUCGGCCGAGCAAGGAAGAGCUCAGGUGGAGUGCGAGUUCCGCCGACGUCGCGCCGCGGUGCCGUUCGAGCGUGUCUUCGUCAUCAUAGUAUCGCGAGGAGGCCGGGCGAGGGUGCGAUUUCGCUGUUCUCGACGUCGUGCCGGAUUGGGAUUAGCUAUCGAGGUAGGUUAAUCAUCGGUUUGUCUUCUAAGUAUAUAGUUGGUCAACAUGUAUUGUUGUGUUGAUAGAUUUUGCUCAGUUCAUAAAAUUUGGCAUAUUCAAUGUAAAAUCUGAAUUGGAGCUUCCUCGUUGCAUGUAUCUACUAGCACAUGUUGGAUUAGAAUUUGACUUAGGAGAAAACAACGAUUAUGACCUAUCAUAUGCUUAAACUACCUGAUUUAACUCUAAGAGCCGUUGUUAUUUCGUAUCGCUGCAGUAUCAGUGUGGUGGAUACCCUAGGUAGUUUAGAUUUCAGUUACGCUCGUGCUGGGAUGCCGAGUGUAUUUUUACAGUAGUGUUCAGACUGUUCCGGACUGUUGGGGGCCGUCGGGGUUGACGGUGGACCCCUAUCGCCGUUUUGGGCGUCAGAUUGUGCCGAGGGCACGUGACCUGUUGGUUGUUAGACUAGUUGGACCCUGUUACUUGACUUUGGCUUGUGAGAGCCUGAUUGAGCUCGACAGAGAUACGCUGCAUACUCAGUUAGGUAGCUCCCACGAGUGCCACUCUGGAGACUGGCGUUGUGCUUUCGCGUUAGUGUCGUUCGUGCAGGUUGGACUUGCGCUCCACAGACCGCUUAGUGUGGAGGUAGCUGUAUAGUCGCAAUCGGGCGGGACGGGUGUAUUCACAGUCCCAGGGACGAGUAGUCUUACAGUACCAGUUGGAUUGGGUCAGAAUUGCCAUUUACUACAGUUGGUUAGAGUAGAACAUGAUAGUGUAGUGGCUUGUAGCUGUAGAUUUUCUUCCAGCAUUUCCUACUAUUCUUGCUCCCUUCUGUAGACUUAGUGGGUGAACCGACGUUGUUGAGGACGGCACCCACUGAGAACUACUUAUUUUUACCGUAGUUCUCACGCCCAGUUGUUCCUUUUCGUUUUGCAGAGCCAUCGUCGUCGGCUGCUACUGAUCCUGAUCGUGGCAAGAGCAUCGCGAGUUAGAGCCCUACCAAACGAGCCAGAGCUAGUGGAGUACCAGCUACAGGUAGUUGUAGUUUUUGGUUCAUUACAUAUUGAUGUUAUACCUCGUUGGAGCGAGUGUUUUUGUACCAGGAUACUGUGUAUGUACUGAUCCAUUUUUAUUAUAUUCUCAUGUUCUUUUUUCCUAGCAGCUCUAUACUACUGGUUGUAGUGUUGUAUUAUUACAGGUACAUUUACAGCUUCGCUUCGUAUAUAGGAAAAAUUUCUUUAUAUACGGCGAAUUUGUCGGCGUGCCCGGGGAACGUGAUAUCCGGGGCGUGACACUCUUAUUCUUCCUUAUUCCAAUCUAACUAUAUAAAUAAAUAAAUACUAUCAAUACAUAUAUUAAAAGCCCAGUUCUACUGUGGCUGACGUGGCGCUUUCUCCGCGCUCGCUAGAAAGAGAGAAAGAGAGAGAGAGAGCAGAGAGAGAGGGAGAGAGAGAGAGCAGACAGAGAGAGGGAGAGAGAGGGACAGAGAGCAGACAGAGAGAGAGAGAGAGAUAGAGAGAGAGCAGACAGUGAGAGAGAGAGGUAGAGAGAGAGAGGGGGGGACACGGGGGCCUCAAGAGCCCGCGCGUAGAGAGAGAGGGGGGGACAUGGAGGGGCCGGGGUACCCAACCCGCGCCCCCCGCGCGCAGGGGCACGCGGGAGAGAGAGAGAGAGAGAGAGAGAGAGAGAGGGGGGACACGGGGGGGGGGGGGAACGGGGGGGGGACCAAGGGGCCCGCGCACCGGCGGGAGAGAGAUCUCUCUUCCUCCCGCCACCGUCUUUACCUCUCCCCCCCCCUGCUCUCUCCGCUCUCCCACCACCUCCCCCCUCUCUCCUCUGCUCUCUUCAUCUCUCUCCCCCCCUCUCUUCCCUCUUUUCCUCCCCCGCUCUUCUCUCUCCUCCCCUCUCCCCAGCGCGGAGGGAAGCAGCGGAGAGAGGCGGCGGAGGGGCCAGCGCGAGCGGAGGCCGGGCGCGGGCGGCGGUAGCGGGAGCGGAAGGAGCGCGAGGCGCGGGGACGCGCGUGCGCGCGAGUCGGGGAUGCGAGGGCUCUCACGACCCGAACGUGUUGCGACUGCUGGAGGAUGGCGACGCGCUCCAAGAUCUACCUGGUCACGUGUCGUGAGGAGGCGAGGUCGAGUGAGCGGGGGGCACGGCGCCGCGGGCACGGCGCGGGGGACGCGCCGGGCGCAAGGCGCGGGGGUGGGCUCCAGCGCGGGCGAGGGCGGGCGCCGGCGAGGGGCGGACCGAGGGGCGGCACGGGAGCGCGGCCGCGGGUCGCGAGGAGGGCCGAGAGCGGCGACUGCGCGGGGCGCGGGCGCCGCGUGUACGCGCGGGCAAGGUGCGAGGGCGGCGCGGCAGCGUGUGGUGGUGGGUUGCACGGGGUCCACAGGGCCAAAGUGGCCCCGUGGACCACACGAGAGGGAGGUCCACGGUGGACCCUCCCCUAUUCUCUUUCUCUCUUCUCUCUAUAUUAUAUAUAUAAUUUUAUUUAUAUAAUAUAUAUAUAUAAUUUAUUUAUAAAUAUAUAUUUAUGUAUUAUAUAUAGUAUUAUAUAUAUAUAAAAAUAAUUUUAUUUAUAAAUAUAUAUAUAUAUAUAUAUAUAUAUAUAUUUAUCUAUUAUAUACUAUUUAAUUUUUAUAUAGAUAUAUUAAAAAAUAAAAUAUAUAAAUAAAUAUUAAAUAAUUUAGACCUGCUGCAUAUCGUCGCCGCGCUGCGCUACUGCCACGAGCGCGGCGUGGCGCACCGCGACGUCAAGCCGCAGAACCUGCUCCUCGCCCGCGACGGCGCGCUCAAGCUCUCCGACUUCGGGCUCGCCGCGCUCGCAGCGCGGUCGCGACGGGCGCCUACACACGGCGUGCGGGACCCCGGCCUACGCGGUACUCUUUAUUAAUGGCUCGGAGACUUUCUUUUGAGUUGAUUAGAUGCCAUAGAAGCUUUAAUUUCAUUUAUUUAUUGGAAGGGCCCAUAGGAUUAGUUUGUUUUAAUUGUACGAACAUAUAUUUUUUCUACGGCAUUUCAUCCUCUCUCUCAGCUUCAUUUUUUUUUAUAUAUAUUUCUUUUGCGAUGCUCUUUGGAUGCAAGAUAGUAAUCAGUGCUCAUUUUGUGAAAACUGAGUUGCUUUUCCAAGGUAAAUUAUGUAAGAUUUGGACUGUGUUGAUAGAAUUUAUUAGUGUGCAACGAAAGAAGUUAACUAGAAAAUGAGUUUUUAUUCUCCCUUAUUUGUGUUAGUCCCCUGAAUUAUUUAUCUGAGUAUCAAAUUGUAAAAUGAAGUGAAUCGUAUCUAGGCUUUUUCAAGCAUGUGGUAAAUUUCUGGGUUUCACUUCUAAUGCUACGGGUACGACGGGGCGCGCGCCGAAGCGUGGUCGUGCGGGGUCAUCCCCUUCGUGCUCCUAGCGGGACGGCUCCUCUUCGACGACGCCAACAUCCCGCUCAUGUACCGGAGGAUCCACCGGCGCGACUACGCGUUCCCGCCUUGGGUCUCCCCCCUUCUGCAACCACCUCAUCUCCCUCUACGCGUGAUGCCGCCUUCCCGUCGCCGCCCGCAAGGUGUUCGACAAAAUCCCCCAAUUAAAAUUUUCUAUUUAAAUUUAUAUAUAUAUAGAAUAAUAUACAUAUAUAGAGAGAGAGAUAUAGAAUAUAUAUUCUCUCUCUCUCUUUUUUUUUUCCUUUCCCAAUUUUUUUUUUUAGUAUUGUGAUUCACAUACAAAAAAAUAAAAAUUUAAAUUUAAACUUUAAAUUUAAAUACAACAAUUAAAAUUUUCUAUUCAAAUACAUAUAUAUAUAUAGAGAGAUAGAAUAUAUAUUCUCUCUUUCUCUUCUUUUUUUUUUUUCCUUUCCCAAUUUUUUUUAGUAUUGUGAUUCACAUACAAAAAAAUAAAAAUUUAAAUUUAAAAUUUAAACUUCAACAUUUUAUAUUCUAAAUUUAAAUUUAAAUUUUAAAUAAUAAAAUAUUUUAAAAUUUAAAUAUUUAAUUAUUUAUUUUGAUUUUUCUUCGUAAAUUUUUCGCUGCGAAGCGCCGGCCUUCACUCGUCUAUAUUUAUUUUAUUUUUCAAAAUAAUCUAAUUUUUAUUUAAAUAUAAAAUUAGUCUAAACCGUUCUUAUUUAUAAUCGAACCAAGCGCAACCUAACGGCUUUCUUCUCUCCCAAAAACCCUAAUAAAACCUAAUCUCCUCUCCCCGACUCCGUCACAGGCACCUCCACCUCCACCUCCGGCCGCCGGAUUCCUCUCUCUCCCACUCUCUCAAUCUUCUCUCAAUCCCUCUCUCCGUCUCUGUUCUUCCUUGGCGACCCGAGUUGCAAGGAGGGCCGCGCCUCUCCCCUCGGGCUCUCCCCGCGUCGCGGACGUCCGGCGGUCCUCCCUCCCCGCCGACCCCCAGCUCCGCCGAGGCCGCGGAGCUCCUUCACGAGCAGCCUCAGGUAGAAGGGAGUUAUCCAGUACCUAGGGGCGUUGGUUUUGGUUUUGGAUUCUAAAGAGAGGCGUUUCUUGAAAGUAUAGGAGACUGCAUAUGUAAGAAAUUCUAAUGCCGAAAUAGUUAUUCCCUGAUCAUCCUUCAAUCACGUGCGAUUGCUCCUGGUGUACCUUUUUUUUUUUUUUUGCUUCUUUUUGGCAUAUGUAUCCCGAUCAACGUUGUGUGUUAGUCCUUCACGUCUUCUUACUUCAAUAAUAGAAAGCAUUCUUUGUUGUGCAUAUUAGUCUUAACUGUGCUUUUUUGUGCAUGUUAGUCUUAGCUGUGCAUAUUAGUCUCUAGGACAAAGCGGAAGAAAGCAAUUUUUUUUUUUUCUUUUUUUUUCUUUUUUUUCUUUUUGUUUAACAUAUCAAGGGAGAGAGUUUAGUGUGACAGUUGUCCCCAUGUAGACUUUUAAGUCUAAAAAUUUCUCAUGUACACGUUUGUUUAUUAAGACGUUCUUAUAUAUUCAUUUUAGCGAACAGUAUUGUCUCCUAUACGUGAAUGACCAAGUAAAAAUCAUAGACAAAGUCGUAUUGUGGAAGAGAGUAGAUUCAAUUGGAAGCCUUGUAGAGGUAAUUAUCAGAAAUAUUGAAAUGGUCCUUGAAACUUCGUAAACGAUGUCUUUCUUUCACCUAUUAGAGGAAAACGGCACAAAAGUAUCAUCUCAGGAGAUCCCAACUAAACGAACCUUGUAUUACGUGUUUUAGAACCUCCCCAAAGUUUUUGUUCGACAAGGUAGGGUGUUUUUCACGUACAAGAGUUAGCUAGGACGACAACCCUAACAGGUCUAAAACGUACUGGGACUUUUUCUCAUUGUCUAAUUAUGGUUAAGGUAUCAUAAUCAUCCUAUUUAACGUAAUGAUCCGAUAGGUCUAUAAUGUUGAAUCCGGGAUUUGAAGAUGAAUUUGUAGAAUAAAGGACUUUAAAAAGUAUAUUACCCCAAGGUAGGAACUUGUAGGCGAAAAGUCCAUUUCCUUGAAGGUCAAAAUCAUGGACUUUGUUCCAAUUUUCCAAUGAAUGUUCCUUUAGUACUCUUCAGUCUAAAAAACUACCGGCCUUGCCUUAUCGUUACACUCCUUCAAGUUCGUGGUUGCACAAUUUCGCUUUUCAAAUUCACCGGUUAUUACCUUAACGUCAUAGUCUUUCAAGUUCCUGUUUUCACAAACUCUCUCUUCAAAUCUCCGACAAAGUUAUAAGAGGUUUUAAUUAAUCAAAAGUAUCGAUCGUGUUGUCUUAUGGUUCUCUGAAAGUUUAAUUGUGUUAAUCUUACAGACCAACACAUUUACAUUUUUUUUAGGAUGUCCUUUCGUUAAGACUUUUGGAUGAAAUAUGGUCUAGAGGAACUAGGCUAUUUUUCUAAAAUUUAAUGGAUUGCCCAAUACAACUAUAUUAAAGUAAUGGUAAGGGAGUUCUUGUACCAAUACUAUAAAAUACGGAACCGAGGUGGUAGUUUUGUAAGUUUCAAUCUAUCUCUAACUUUCCUUAAGAAUAAGUAGUUUCGUACGUUUGUUAGUCGAUAUUAUUUUAGGUAAAACCAGUAGUUUUAAUUUGGAUAUUUAAACCUCCACUUUUAAGUGAAUGAUAUGUCAUCUUCUAAAAAUAGGAGGAAAAGAUUACGUCGUUUGGGAACUGACUGAAGAGUGUGUCUUUUUAUGUCAUGUUCUUUUACACUUAGGUCGGAGUAUCAUAACAACUAAAUGGACUGGUGACGUAACAACCUCUGAGAAUUCCACAAGGGACUAAAAGAGACGUCACUUACAUAGCUGUUCACUUUGGUGAAAUUAAGAGCUUAAAGGGUUUAAACUAAGUCAUUGGUGACCUCACUGUUGAACAUUCCUUAGUCCGAACGUAAGACAUAGCCCGUGUUUUAGUGACGGGAGUAAGACUUAAGCACUUAAAAGAACGUAGAGCUGGUGUUGAGACUGAGGUUAAAGUAAGACUAAAAAACAAAAAAGAACAUCGAACUCGUGCUAUAAUGGCAGGAGCAGGAAUUAUACACCCAGAAGAACGUAGGACUGCUGCUUCAGUGACAGGAACAAGACUUAAAGACGUAAAAGAACAUAAAGUCGACGUUGUAGUAGCUGGAGUAAGAAGUAGAAACAGAAAAGAACGAGAGCAACGUGAAAUCAGAGAAGGUCGGAGUGUUCCAAGCGUAAGGUCAGCAGUCGAAAUCUUCAUCUUCUCAGGUUUUUAAAGACUAAGUAUCUGUGUAGAACUUAGAGUCUCGAGUGUAAGCAUCUGUAGUGACAGGGAACUUUACAAGAGCUACUUGGAACCCUUCUUCUUGGUAAUCUUAAGUCCCGUCCGGCAACAAGAAAUUUUCAAAGUAAAACUGACCUCUCUUUCCGUGAUGUCGAAAGUCAGGAUGUUGCAAAACGUCCACCGUCGACCAGUCUUUGAAGACGAUUAAAAGAGGUCUGACCUGGUGUGUUGACCGUAAGUUAACUCGCCGUGAAGGAUAUUACUAGCUAAUCAUGGGACCCGGGUAUUGUUGAAAAAAGCGUCGGAAAUUGUAAUGUUAAGUUUUACACUAAUUCGAAGAGAAAUUUUAAACCUGUUUCCACAUGUAGUGUAAGGGAAAGUGCUUCACUCGUCGAGCUAUGUACAAGUAUUUCUUUAUCUUUUAAUUAGUUAAAGAGGUUCGGGUUAAACAAUGAGCUCCAUCCUCUGAAAAGUACUCAAAGACGUUGUAAUAACAAGUGGACUCGUUUUAGUUAAUUAAAUAACUAGGUGACACUUCCCGGAUGUCAUAAAAAGAGUCAGUUGUGGAAAACGACGGGUUUCAAUAGAAGAAAAACGUUAUGUACCACUACUAACAAUGAUUUAACCCAUAGGACUUUUCUAACGGGAACAUUGUUUAGUACACGGAGGGAUUAACUAAGACCUUUAAGCACUUACGAAGCACCGACGAAGUUACGGGGAUUCGGGUUUUGUCUUCGGUAAGGUCGUGCCAGGUCAUUGGGUCCCCUAAGCGUUAACUUAAAUAGGUAUUUUAAUCUAAAGGACGUUCUUGGUUCACGACUAUCUCUACUUAACGUGUAGGUUCCUUGUGUACGAAGUCUCGGGCUCGAGUUUACACAUAAUAGACGGUUCAUGUACACACUAUGUUAAUAUUUCUAUUUUUUUCUUUCGUAGUUCUAGUAUUUUCUUGAUAAUUUUCGAAGUUUUGUAUAUUAUAUCUAGCCUAAGUGUAUUUGAAACUUUUAGUGAAAACGAAUCUAGAACAGCCAUCGAUGUACGUAUUCUUUAGGCUUGUCUUACGUUGACUCUGUUCGUCUUGGAGGGUAAUUUUAAUUGUGUGGUACGUUUCUUAUUGAUCAUGGUAUAUAUAACAUGACGAGUUUCUAGUAAGAUCAAACUAGUAACUCUCUGGAGCUAGGUAAUAGUGCAUGUGUAUUAUAUAAACUUGAACGAGGCAACAAGACCUGUCGAGAACGAUUGUUUCACAAUGUCCCUCAUCUUGUGUUUAUACUACUUAGUCUUCGAACUACUCGCUUUAAACAAGGGUUUUACGACGGUUAACUUAGGUAUUGAGAUGGCAAGCUUGUUCUUCUCUUCAAUCGUUGGUGAGAUACGACAGGUAAUCCAGCUAUAGGACGUUCUCUGGUAUAUUAACAACGAUUUUAUUACGUCUCCUCAGUUUAAAGUGUUUGAAGAGAUAAGUUAAGUUGAGUGAUACUUUUCUUCCAGUAAUGGUUCGCGACAUCUCUUCAAUCUUUAUCUCCUCGGUACUUAACUAAGUCCACGGUUUAAUCGUCACUAAGAACUUGAUCUAACUUUUCCUCCGCGGUUGAGGCUUGAGUUAACACCUCUGGGGUAAUUUCUUCUUAUUGCCGUUCGUCGUAGGUUUCAGGAAAGGGCAUAUUAGCAGAGGUACGUAAAAUUGAUAAAAAGUUUCCAUAUUCUUUUAUUCAUUUAUUUAGCUACCAUAGGGGCCUUUGUUACGAAUUUGUGUUUGAUCAAAGGUUAUUAGUAUUGAUAAAACUUCUCUGGAUGUAACGAUCUUGAUUCUUAUUGGUGUUAGACACCUUUAAAAGGUUAAACACUUUAGGUUCAGUUCUAUUGAUUACUUUAUUGAGAUAACGUCGUGACUUCCAAAACUUUUAAUUGAGACAUAUCUUUCCUUUAGGUUGUGCUCAUAAAACUAAAUGUUAAUUCCUACGUAGAGUGAGUAACCUAUUUGAGAAUUAUUUCUCUAUUGACUAAUAGGACCCGUUAGAACNGAUCUGUGAGACAAGGGAGGGAUCCCAUACCACCCAGCGAAGUGAUGGCCCAGCACUCUCGUAGAAUUAUAGCUUGGAGUGAUGUUAACUUGCCAAGGACAUCUGCAGAUGGCAGACGGGUUACUGUUCUGAUCUCUUCUAGCGACAGGCGGGUGAGGGAGGUAAGAGUUUGUAGGCUUGCCGACAAUGCGCGGUUAGUAAUGUUGCAUCCCUUAAGCCAGAGCUCGGUAAGGGUAGAGGGCAGAAGCAAUUUGGCCUCAUUUUGUCUGCUGUAAAUCAAUUCCAUCUUUCGCUCAUGCACCUCCAACCAUCUCCCCCAGACAGCAGUAAUAUCCACGUCGGCAGCAGGCGCACUCUUAUUAUGCUUUGCAGAGCAAGCUUCAUUGUUGGAGUCAUUCGUUGCGGCUAUGAAAUUCAUCAUUUCUUUCUCAUUGUUGACUAAGGACUCUUGAUAUUGGUGGGGAAACCAUUUCGGCAUCCUUUUCCUCAUGACCUCUAUUAUGGAUCUCUUGUCGGCUGGGCUCAUAUGCAAGUCUUCUUUUGUUACAAAGAUGAGAGACAGUGUAUUUUCUAUUAUGAGUAUUGUAAGCUGUGGUGGAAGGGCAUGUAAUGCUUUAAGUUUAGGAAGAUGCGAGAGCUCAAGUGAUAUGCAUGAUCGGUAAAUCUGGUCCAUCAUCAGUGGGAGCGCUUCUAGCAUUCCACACCACGUCAGUGCAAAUUCCUGAAUAUCGGAUGUUUGACAUUCGGGCCAAGACGGGCACGACCGUCCUCGAUACCCAUCUAAACUCAGGCUGGUAAGAUAGGGAGGCAAUUGGAGGCCCUCGAGAAUUUCGACAUCCAAAUCAGAAUUUACAUUGUCCUCACCAUCGCGCCAUACCAACUGGAGCAUAUCAAGAUGCUCCUUUUCUUUUAAAUUGGCUGCAAUGGCGCUAUCCCUGCUCUCAACAUUCUCGAGAUUAUCAAUGCACAAGCGUCCUCGAAGUUCAUUCAAGUUCUGUAGUUGCUCUAGCUCAUAUCCUUUUUCCUUUUUCACCUGAAAAUGUUUUAGGCCUUGCAAGGAAGUUAACUUGCCAAUGUCAGGUAUCCCCGAAAUUAAAUCAGAAUUUGCCUCUAGAUACCUCAAGCUAACCAAGUUAUUAAGACGUUUAGGAAGCGAGCUAGCGCUUUUUAUUCGCAGCACCUGUAACUGAUACAGAGUACACACCGACUCCGGCAACACGAACACGCUAGUACUCGAUAUUUCUAGGACGCGAAGGUGCUUCAUUCCACUUAUAAACUUUGCCAAAUUUUCUAGAUUUAACUCCAAAACCAGCACACGCAAUUAUUUUAAGCUGAAUUUUUUAAAGCUGUUGGAGAUGUCGGUCGCAACUUGUUCUUUUGAGGUGACGCUUUCUCCUCCCAUGACGAUUAGGGUGCGGAGUUUCCUUAGUUUGCAAAUCCUCUCCUUAUUCUCGUUCAGUUUGUCAGCCGGUAUGCACAGAUGACGAAUAGUUGACGGGAUCUCGGUUCGACGAUUACCUUCUAUUCUAACACAAUAAUUGCGAGUGACCUUUUCUGCUAGAUCAUACAACAAUUCAUGCAACGUGUAGUAGCUGACAAACUUAUAUGCCCCAGAGGAGUAGCUGACUCUGUUAUGACGCUGAAUGUAGAAUCUGGACACCAACUCAUUUAGGUACUUAUUGCCUGCAUCCUCCAUCCGCUUAUUCUGAUCAUCCGGCUUGAUAAAACCUUGCGCCAUCCAGAGAUGGACCAGUUGUAAAGCUUCGAACGUGUGGCCCUUAGGAUACAGGCUGCAGUAUGAGAAGCAACGCUGAAGAUGUGCAGGCAAAUGCCGAUAACUCCACAUCAGUGCUUUGGUUUUGCCGCCGGACCAGUCCUUGUCCGCAAUCUUUCUCAAGUAUGUAUGCAAAUUACCUUGCGAAUGGGGGAGGUCGGCAAUCUUCAUAGCAAUCGUCUUGCCGACCAUCUCGGCCGCUGUAGGGUCCUUGUUCAACUUCCCAGCAAUUAUCUUGCAUUUCUUUUCUAGAUCGUCUCUUAGGCACGCAUGCAUUUCCCUGCUGGGCAAUGCGUAGUGAAUGAAAAGAUCCGAAAAGUAAUUCUCUUCCAUAUCUUCCAACGGGACAAUGUGUUCUACGGUAGCACCAAUAGCAGCAGCAAUCUUUCUCGGCGCAUCGUCGGUUUGAGACGUAACUAAAAUCUUGCUCCCCGGCAAACAACAACACUUGCUUAAACAUCUGAAUAGUGUAUCCCAAUUCUUCUCGUGGUCUUCUCCGUGGCACCAAACAUCAUCUAUCACAAGGAGGAACAUCUUCGCAUUUAGCUUUUUGUUUAUUUUCAGUUGCAGCGCUUCAAGCGAGUUGAGGUUACCGAGAUCUUCUUGAGGCUCACCUGCGAUAGAAGCUUGUUGUACGAUGUCUUUCAUAAUUCCGGCUGCGUCGAAGUUGCGAGACGCGUAGACCCACAUGAUGGGAUGAAAAUGCUGUCCAUCACCUAAUUCACUCCUCAGCUGCUCGUAAACAUACUGCGCGAGAGUAGUCUUCCCGACCCCCGGGCGGCCGACUAUGGCAAUUAUAGGCACUCCCGACGAUGAUCCAGGCCUGCGAAUUGCUGCUGCAGGAGGUUCUGUUUUCAAACGAUGGAUGAUUUUGUGACGAUCUUCGUCGCGGCCAAACACCUGUUGCCGAGGCAGCGAGAUGGUCUACCUGCUAUCGGGCACUGCUGCCGUCUGAUCAGGCUGGGCGCCUAACAAAUCGCCCGGCUUCUCGGCAUCGCUGGCUUUGUAUUCAAGCUUGUUCAGCCUGCGCUUCAGCUUGAUCUCUCGAGGCGACAGCAUAUCGCGACCAGCUUUCAAGACUGGUACAACCCAUUUCACAAGUUUUGGUACGUUGAAAGGAGAACAUACCCGAUUAAUUUGCCUCUUUCUGCUCCUCGCUACCGCCGCCUCCGCCUCUGCCGCCUUGCGUUCGAGCCGCCGGUAGUUGAGGAGGUCAGCACGUCCUCCGUGCUCUGCAGACCGCUCUCCACCUCGCUCCAUUGCGCGCUGUCUUCCAAUUUCUCCAUCACCUCUGCUGCAGGCUCCAUUUUCAGGAGCUGGAUGAUUUCUUCACGAUCUUCGUCGCGGCCGAACACUCUCAGCGGAGGCACUGAGAUGGCCGGCCUGCUGUCAGGCGCCGCUGCUGCCGCUGUCUGAUCGGGCCAUGCGCGUAACAAAGCGCGGAGUUUCUCGGCUUCGCUGGCGAUCAUUUCCAGCUCGUUCAGCCUUCGCUUCAGCUUGAUCUUUUGAGGCGACAGCAUGUCCCGAACAACUUUUGGCACCGGAUUACUUCGCCUCCUAGUACUACUACUGCUUGCUGUCGCCACCUGCCGUCUGAGGCGGUCGUAGUGGAGGAGGUCCAGCGCGUCCUCCGCGUCGUCGUAAGCGUCUUUCAGCCUCUGCAGCCAGCCCUCCACCUUCCUAUGGUGCCGGCUGCCUUCCGCUUUCUCGAUCACCGAUUUCAGCACCGGGAGGAUGUUUUGCUCCAUCUCUUCCAGCCUUUUCUCCGCGUCGAUGCCUAGGCUGUCGAAGCCUUCGUUGAGCAGCUUCGCCACGAGGGGAGACGCCACCCAUACCUCCGCUGCUACUCCGAUCGAUUCGACUACUGGCAUUGCUGUUGUUGCAAUAGGAAUAGAAAAAUUAAAAAUAUAUAAAAAUAGAAAGUAAGAAAUUAGCUAGAGUAAAAGAACGAAUGAAUUAAUAUGCGGACGAAGAAUGAUUGAUUUGUACGGUCAUAUCGCGGUGUAUACAAAAACAUUAUUCGCUAUUUCUUUCGCGGUCAAUUCAAACGGAUAGUUAGCAUUAAUUAAUAUUUUUAUUAUAUUUUAUUUUAAAUUAACUAAAUUUAAAAUUGAAUUAGAAUUAAGCUUUUUAAAUUUUAAAAUGAAAUUUUAAAAUUUAAAAUAAUUAUGAAAUUUAAAAUAUUAAAAUUUAAAAUUAAAUUUAGAUUUAAGCAUUGAAUUUAAAAUUAAAAUAAAAAUUUGAAAUUUGAGUACAAAAUCAGAAUCAAAUUUAAAGAAGUAGCUUUUUUCUGCUCUUGAUUUUAGGCUUUUAAAAAAAAUUUCUAAUUCUGAAAAGCAAAAUCGGAUUUGAAAAAUAAAAUUGUGAAAGGGCUUUUUUAUAAAAUAACCUUAUAAAAUUUUAUACUUGGCAAAAUUACUCUGCCAAAAAAAAUUUGUAAAACUAACCCUCCUUUCGCCAUGUGGGCGCCACAUCUGAUUUUCCUCACAAAGACGUCUUUGUGAUUCUGUGGUUAAGGCGGUGAAUGAUUCACCACCUUCAGUGCAAAACCCCACCCGCUUCCCCUUAUAAGACCUCUUUUCCAACUUCAUCCUAACAAUUCCGUCUUUUCUGUGUCCCCGUCUUCUCGAGGGCAUAGGAAAGGAAAAGUGCAAGGGAUUUGCCCUAAAUGCAGUAAGUGGUUUAUCGCCUUUAGAAAGCGGUGAAUCAUUCACCGUCUUCAUAAGAAAUAUACAAAGACGGUGAACGAUUCACCGUCUUUGUGAGGAAUACUGACAUUGCGCCCACGUGGGAAAAGGAUGGUUUAUUUUACAAAUAAAAUUUUUACAGAAUCAUUUUGCUAAUUAUAAAUUUGUAGAGAAUUAUUUUAUAAAAAAACCCAUUGCGAACAUUCGGGGGAAAAUUACUUUUCAACCUCAAAGUACAUUUUAAAAGUUAGACCUACCACUAGGGGUGUAAUGUGGGCCGUGCCGGCCCACAUUUUCCGGGCCGAACCGGGCUGGAGAGUGGCGCGGCCCGGCCCGUGGCUAAAUCCGGGCCGAGCCGGGCCGGGCCUGAACUCCCAACCAUCCGGCCCAGCACGGCCCCUGCGCCCGGAAGGCACGGGCCGUGCCGGGCCGGGCCGUGCUCCGAGCCGGCUCCUUUUUUUAUUUUUUUAAAAAUGUACAUAUAAUUUAAAAAAUAUAAACAAUAAAUUAUAUUUAUAUAAACUGAUAUUUUGACUAAAAAAUUUAAAAUUUAUAAAAAUAAUUACAAAAAAUAAAUAUUUUAAAUUUAUUUAAUAUAUUUUUUAUUUUUUUUUUGAAAAAAAAAAGUUGAGAAGGGUUUUUGGUCCAAUGGACCAAAAUUGCUUUGGUCCAUUGGACCAAAAUCACUCCUCCCAAGGGAGGAGCUCUCCUUGGGAGGAGGGCUAAGCCCUCCACCCGAGGAGAGCAAACCCCAGGCCCAAGGCGAUUCCGUGCCGUGCUGGCCCGGCUGGCCCGGCGGGCCGUGCCGUGCCGGGCCACGGGUCUCUCCUCGGCCCGGCGCGGCCCAGGCACGUUUGGGGCCGUGCCGUGCCGGGCCGUCGGGCUCCAAAUGUGAGGCCCAGCAGGGCCCGAAGUGCCUGCCGGGCCCGGCCCGGCCCGGGUGCUAAGGCCUGGCCCGCAGCCGUGCCGGGCCGGGCGGCCCACGUGCCGCCCGGCCCGUUUUACACCCCUACCUACCACCCCUAGGUCUGCUUGGACCUUUGCUUACUUAGAAGAUGUCUGACCCAUGGUGUCAUGGUAUCUGGAAGCAUUCUAAAAGCCAGCUGAGCAAUUGAAAAAGUUGGAUGAAGUGUAUUAGAUGUGUGGGGAAUUCGCAUUUGUGGCUCGAGACAAGCAACAACCUUUUCGAUCUGGUCGAGCAGAAAUUCUACACCAUCACAUUUGCACCACGUUAUUAAUAACAAAUUAAUUAUUUUUUUUUUCAAAUCAAACUACAAUAAAAAUAUUUUUUUAUAAUCAUGAUAGGACAUAUAGCUCUAAAAAGAGAUAUUUGAUUGAUUUUUACGCCACAUCACCAAUAUAUACCCGUUGCAUUCAAAAAAUUUUCUGGUCAAGUGGACUAGUACUAUACUAUAUUAAGAGAUCUUUAAUUGCAUUUCUUUAUCGUACCAAAGAAUAUUACUGUACAUAGUUAUACAUAAAUCUCAUAUCUCAUCUACUUUACUAUUAAAAAGAAAAAAAAUGAUAAAACCAGCGAAAAUAUAAUGGUUUUUAGAUGAGUAAGACAAUCCGAGGAAUAAAAAAUUAAAAUAUAAAAAUAUAGAGUAAGAAAUUAAUUAGAGGAGAGGAAUGAAUGAUUGGCUGUACCGUCAUAAUCAUACAAUCCGAGGAAUGAUGAUUGUACGGUCACCACAAAGUCAAUCUAAACUUACCACUUGCUGGUCGGUGUCUACUGCUAAGUGUUAGUGACCCAAAAUAAUUUUAAUAAUAAUGGUGGUAAACCGUGUGUGUAGAGUCCGGCAGGAUACUAUCGAUAGCACGAAAUAUUUAGUGCUAUCAAGUUUUCUACCGUUAGAUUUAUCCCGUUUAUCAUUUUCAUCCAUUCGAUUAUACUAUUCAACUAACUACCCACUCAAUCCUAAAGGGACCACAUCAGCCUAAUUGUGUAGAUCAAUUUCAACAUUUCUAAACAUUUCUAAUUGUGCAAAUCAAUUUCAACAGUACCGAUUAUCAAUUUGAAGUUCCGAUCAUUCAAAUCGACUUGAUAGGACAAUGUCCUCAAUCCUAUUAAUAGGAUAGUAGAUGGACCCUAUAUAUAUAUAUAUAUAUAUAUAUAUAUAUAUAUAUAUAUAUAUAUAUAUAGUUGAGCUAGAAUACUAUCGAUAACAAACGGGUUCCGUUGCCACCCAUUUGUUUUCGAUGAUAGAGCCUCCAAAUCGACGAUCGGCACCGUUGAACAUAAUCUAUACCACUUGAAGUGUUUAGAAAUUAAAUUUCAAAUUUUUUCGACAUCAAUUGCCUAAUGAUCAAAGGGUUUCAAAAUUUAUAAUUUUAAUUGUCGAUAUGAGGUGUGUUCUCGUUUAACGGCAUAAAAAUAUGUAUACAAAUCAAUUGAAUUUUUGUUAGAAAAUUCUUUAAACUAUUUAAAACAAGAUCUAUACUCUUGAUCUUGAUUACAAGAUCCUAUCAUGAUUUUUUAAAGAAUAUUCAUUUUCAGCCGUUCAUUUUCAUGUCCACUCGAUGGAUAAGAGAAUAAUAUCGGAAAUGUAUGAAAUUUGACUUGUAAACACUUCAAGUGGUAUAGAUCAUAUUCAACAGUGCCGAUCGUCGAUUUGGAAGCCCCAUCAUCGAAAACAAAUGGGUGGCAACGGAGCUCAUUUGCUAUCGAUAGUAUUCUAGCUCAACUCUAUAUAUAUAUAUAUAUAUAUAUAUAUAUAUAAUUGAGCUCCUAUGCUUUUAAAAGUAUCAAGUUAUUGGUGCUUGUAAGUUUUUAGCCCUUGGAUUAAUAGAUGUGCGGUGAGGAUAAUGUGGGCCCCCUUGGGUUAAGUAGGUAGUUGGUUGAAUAGUAUAAUCUAACGGAUGCAAAAGAUCAAAAUCGUAGAUCUAACGGUAAAAAAUUCACAAGCACCAUGUGCUUAGUGCUUUCACAAGCACCAUAGCCGGACUCUAUAUAUAUAUAUAUAUAUAUAUAUAUAUAUAGAGAGAGAGAGAGAGAGAGAGAGAGAGAGAGAGAGAGAGAGAGAGAGAGAGUUGAGCUAGAAUGUUAUCGAUAGCAAAUCGGCACGUUUGUCACCCAUUUGUUUUCGAUGAUGAAGCCUCCAAAUCGACGAUCGGCACCGUUGAACAUGAUCUAUACCAUUUGAAGUAUUUAGAAAUCAAAUUUCAUUCAUUUUCGAUAUUAUUUUCUUAUCCAUCGAGUGGACAUAAAAAUGAACAGCUGAAAAUAAAUAUUCUUAAAAAAAUGAUAAUAGGAGUCUUGUAAUCAAGAUCAAGAGUAUAGAUCUUGUUUUAAAUAGUUUAAAAAAUUUUCUAACAAAAAUUCAAAUGAUUUGGAUAUCUUUACGCCGUUAAAUGAGAAAACGUCUUAUAUCGACCAUUAAAAUUACAAAUUUUGAAACCCUUUGAUCAUUAGGCAAAUGAUAUCGAAAAGAUUUGAAAUUUAAUUUCCAAAUAUUUCAAGUGGUAUAGAUCAUGCUCAACGGUGCCGAUCGUCAAUUUGGAGGCUCUAUCAUCGAAAACAAAUGGGUGGCAAAAGUACCGGUUUGCUAUCGAUAGCAUUCUAGCUCACCUCUAUAUAUAUAUAUAUAUAUAUAUAUAUAUAUAUAUAUAGUUGAGCUAGAAUACUCCUAAAAGCACCAUGAUAGUGGUGCUUUUGAGUUUUUAACCUUUGAAUGGAGAGAUAUAGGAUUGGGAUGAUGGUGGUAGGUGACGGUAGGUGGUGGUAGGUGGAAUAGUGUUUGAUCCAAUGGCUAUUAGUAAUCAAGGAGUAGAUCUAAGGGCUAAAAACUUAGAAGCACCAAAGGCUUGGUGCUUCUAACAGUAUUCUAACUCCACUCUCUCUCUCUCUCUCUCUCUCUCUCUCUCUCUCUCUCUCUCUCUCUCUAUAUAUAUAUAUAUAUAUAUAUAUAUAUAUAUAUAUAUAUAUAUAUAUAGGCUGAGGCUACUGUACUCAUAUGAGUAUAGAGCUCUUUGUUCUCAUAACUUUUUGGCCGUUCAGAUGAAAAAAUGUGCGGUUAGGAUGAGAGUGGUUACGGUUAGAUUGAUAGUGGGCCUCCUAGGAUUAAGUAGUUGGUUGGUUGAAUAGUAUAAUCUAAUGGGUGAAAAUGAUUAAAUGAUAGAUCAAACGGCAAAAAACUUAUGAGUAUAAAAAACUCUAUACUCAUAAUAAUAUAGUAGCUGGACUCUAUAUAUAUAUAUAUAUAUAUAUGCUGGGGCUACUAUACUCAUAUGAGUAUAGAGCCCUUUGUAUUCAUAAGUUUUUAGCUUUUGGAUGAAAAAAUAUGCGGUUAGGAUGAGAGCGGUUACGGUUAGGUUGAUAGUGGGGCCCCUAGGGUUGAGUAGAUGGUUGGUUGAAUAGUAUAUUCUAACGGGUGAAAAUGAUUGAAGGGUAGAUCUAACGACAAAAAAUUUAUGAGUACAAGAGGCUCUAUACUCAUAAGAGUAUAGUAGCCGGAUAUAUAACCGCCGCUAUACCCUCACCCUGAGCUGGCUCAGGUACGCGAGUCGAGGGUGCGGGCACAUCACGUCCGUCCGUCACCGUUGCGGCCGCCGCCGCAGCCUGCCGCUCCAAGAGCUCCUGAAACCGCUCGAAUCGGGUCUCCUGGCACUGCACCACAUUGGUCAACGCGGCCACUUGCGCCUGCAACCGAUCCAUCACACUCAGUUCAGCCUGCUCGGGCACCUCCGGAGUCGGUGCCGGAGUAGAUCUACAUGUGUAGCGUCUUGGAGACAUUAGUCCCUAAAACGCGAAUACUUGGUCAGUCAUCUUAACCAAUUAUCUCGUCGAAAUUAUGACACAUGACGACUCAACCCCAAAAUCGGGCGGAAGCACACAAGUGUACUCGUUCUAGACUCUUGGUAUCAUGUCGUCGGCCGCCGACACAACCACCUCAAGAUAAGAUAUAUAUAUAUAUAUAUAUAUAUAUAUAUAUAUAUAGUCUGGCUACUAUAUUUUUAUGAGUACGAUCGUCUUUGUAUUCAUAAGUCCUUUUUUAUGAUAGAGUUUUCAAAUCGACGAUUCAUGUCGUUAAGCAUUAUAUAGAACAUUUAAAACAUCUAAAAAUCAAUUUUCAUAAUUUUUCAAUAUCAUUUACCUUAUGAUCAAAAUGUCACACAAGUUGACAAUUUUUAACCGCCGGUAUAGAAUACUUGCUAGUUUAACGGUAUAAAAAAAUUGGAAUGACUUGAAUUGUUGAUAGAAAAUUCUAUUCACUAUCUGUAUAAGGAUCAAUAACUCCGAUCUUAAAUUGAAGUAUCCGAUCAUCUAUUUUUAGGACGUUGUUCAAUUUUGACCGUUUAUUUUAUGCUCGCUUGAUAAAUUUUAUUAUGAUUUUGAAAAAUUACGAAAUUUAUUUUUUAGAAGUUUCAAAUACUUUAGAUCAUAUUUAACUAAGUGAAUCGUCAAUUUGGAAGCUUCAUCAUCAAAAAUAACUUAUGAGUAUGAAGAACUCUAUACUCAUAAGAUUACAGUAGCUAGAGAUGUCAACGGGUCGGGUUCGGGGCGGAUUUUUAAAAACCCGAACCCGAACCCGACUCCAAACCCGAAUCCCGAACUCGAACCCGAACCCGAACCCGACGGAUUUUAAAAAUCCAUAUCCAAACCCGAACCCGACCAAAAAUCCGAAAUCCGAACCCGAACCCGAACCCGAAAAUUUGAACCCCGAAACAAUUAUUUCUUUUUUCAAUAUUUAAAAAUAUAUUAUAUUAAAUCUAAAUUUUUAAAAUACAAAUUCAAAUAUAAUAUCAAAUUUUUAUAUAUAUAAUACAAAAUAAAUUCGGGUUCGGGUCGGGUUUGGGUCGGGUUCGGGUUCGGGUCGGGUACAAUCAAAAUCCAUAUCCGAAUCCAUAUCCGUCGGGUUUUUAUUUUUUAUAUCCAUAUCCAAAUCCAUAUCCAUAUCCAUAUCCAUCGGAUAUAUCCGUUUCAUUCGGGUUCGGGUUCGGAUAAAAUUUCGGGCAUCCAUACCCAUUGACAUCCCUAAUCGCAGGUUUCAUAAAAGCAAAUUUAAUAUGUUUAUGUUUCAUAUAUAUAUAUAUAAUUUUGAAGAAAAGACAGCUAAUCAUACUUUUUUUAGUAUUGCAAGCCUAUAUAUAUUUAAUGUCAUUAUCCAUUAAGAAUUUAAGAUUAACUUUAAAAUAUUUAGCAAACCAAAAAGAUAUAAAACUUGAAAAUCUAUAAUCCAUUAACAAUGUAUCAUUCUUUUAACCCGUUUGCACUUUUU
This 74805-nucleotide long non-coding RNA is filed under the name Ananas comosus (pineapple). RNAcentral describes it as "long non-coding RNA (ACOM_LNC022171)". Lineage: Eukaryota; Viridiplantae; Streptophyta; Magnoliopsida; Poales; Bromeliaceae. The record is from RNAcentral.